This 55152-nucleotide long non-coding RNA is filed under the name Gossypium barbadense (sea-island cotton). RNAcentral's name for it is "long non-coding RNA (GBAR_LNC007662)". The stretch from base 46152 to 46258 matches the Rfam family "Plant small nucleolar RNA R71". The record is from RNAcentral. Lineage: Eukaryota; Viridiplantae; Streptophyta; Magnoliopsida; Malvales; Malvaceae.
AGAGGUACUUUCUAUUGUGUAUAACAACAAGCAGUUAAUAUGGAUUUCCUGAAUUGGUUAAUGUACUUUUUUUUCUCCUUGAUAUUGUUUCAAGCUUUCCAUUUGAUCACAAGAAGGAAAUUGGGAAGAUCCCAUAAGCUUCCGCCCGGUCCACCAACAAUUCCGAUCUUCGAGAACCUUUUCCAGGUUGGUGAUAAACCCCAUAGGUCCCUUGCCAAACUUGCCAAGAUUCAUGGGGACAUCAUGACUCUGAAACUUGGCCAGACUACUACCGUAGUUUUUUCAUCUGCAACAAUGGCCAAAGAAAUCUUCCAAAAGCAUGAUGCCGUAUCUUGUAACCGAACCAUUCCCGAUGCCCUUCGUGCCCUUCAACAUCACGAAGCCGGAUUGCCUUGGAUGCCUGUUUCAACCACAUGGAGAAAUCUUAGGAAAAUCUGCAAUUUGCAUAUUUUCGCUACUCAUAAACUUGACGCUAAUCAAUACUUGAGGCGCAGCAAAGUAGAACAACUCCUUGCUGGUGUUCGCGAAAGUUCCCUCAUCGGAGAAGCGAUUGAGAUACGUUAAGCUGCUUUCAAAACUACGCUUAGUCUCAUAUCAAAUACUAUUUUCUCCAUUGAUUUAGCCGACUCUACUCAUACUUCUGAGGAGUUGUUAAGUUUAGUUCCCAUGCAAAGGUGGCCAUGCACGACAUACAAAGGUGGUCAUGCUCCUGGAAUCGCAGCAAGCAGUGGUGCCAUGGUGUGCAGCAAUUAAAGUUUGAAGCUGCCAAUCUAUUUGCUAUUUUAGUUUCAUUUUGAUUGUUUUGUAAUCUAGUUCAUGUUGAACUAAGUAGGUAAAUGUUUUGAUAUUGAUUGACUGAAAAGUCAGCAAUGCAAGUUGUACAAGCUAAUCUUGUAAGUUUCAAUGCAAAUUAGUGGAGUUAGGUAGUUGAUUAGGUGAUUACUUGUUUGUUUUACUUAUUGACUAAUAUAUGUAAUGGCUUAAUGCCUUGUUGUAAUGUUAAUGAAAGAUAUCAGCUCUUUUUCAUUCAAUCUUCUUCUCUCUUUUCUGUUUUUUCACUUGCUAGUUUCAUCUUUCUGUUUUCUGCUUCCGAGCUUGCUUCUUCACCAAGGCUCGAGACUUACUACUCAAGCAAGACUUGAAACAGUUUGUUGCUGCCUCUUGCACCAACAAUUGGUAUCGAGAGCUCUUGUCUUAGUGGACCUGUUGCUUCAAAACAAGGAACUUGAUGGCUUCUUCAGGAUUUUCACCAGCAGCCCCACCAGUCUUCAAUGGAGAAGGCUUUCACAUAUGGCUGGUCAAGAUGAAGACUUACCUACAGGCCUUCGAUCUGUGGGAAGUUGUCAACACAGAUACUGAGCCAGCACCACUGAGGGCUAAUCCCACAGUAGCUCAGAUGAGGCAACAUGCUGAUGAGAGGACCAAAAGGCACAAAGCCAUGUCCUGCAUCCAGAACUGUGUGUCAGAUGUCAUCUUCACCAGAAUCAUGGCCUGUGAGACUCCAAAACAGGCCUGGGAUAAGCUUAAGGAGGAGUUUCAAGGCACUGAGAGAACAAGGCAACAGCAGCUGUUAAACUUGAGAAGGGAUUUCGAGAAUUUGAAGAUGAAGGAAGAAGAAACAGUGAAGCAGUACUCAGAUAGAAUUAUGGCAGUGGUUAACAGUAUAAGGCUCCUAGGUGAGCACUUUGAUGAGGCAAGAAUUGUGGAGAAAGUUCUCUCCACUUUGCCUGAGAGAUAUGAGGCCAAGAUAUCCUCCCUAGAGGACUCAAGAGACCUUGCUAGCAUCUCUUUGACUGAGUUAAUCAACACCUUCUAUGCUCAGGAACAAAGGAGAGCUAGCAGAGCUGAAGAUCACCAAGAAGGUGCAUUUCAAGCCAAGGCCAGAGAAACCUCGAGCAUUAAUGCUCAAAGAGGCAAAAAGCCUUGGAAAAACAGGCCUAAGCCUGAUGUUGCAAGAAGCAAUGACCAACCCUGCAGAUAUUGCAAGAAGCCUGGCCAUCCAGAAGACAGAUGCUGGUUUAGGCCAGAUGCAGUAUGUCAACACUGCAAGAAGAAGGGCCAUGUUGAAAGGGUCUGCAAAAACAGAAGUAAGCCAAGGCAGAAUCAAUUUCAGCAGUCAAAGGUUGAAGCUCGAGUAGCUGAGGACAGUAGUGACCAAGAAGAACAGGUCUUUGCUGUUUCCUGUGUAGCUUCUGAGAAGAAAUGCUCCAAAGGCUGGUUGCUGGACAGUGGUUGCACUAACCACAUGUCACCAGAUGCCUCCUUGUUUAAAACCUUGGACAGAAGUUAUAAAACCAAGGUCAAGGUUGGAAAUGGUCAGUUUAUAAGGGCUGAAGGAAGAGGAGAAGUGCUGAUAUGUACUCCCACAGGCAACAAGAUCAUUCCAAAUGUGCUGUUGGUACCACAAAUUGACAGAAACCUUCUCAGCAUAGCUCAACUGCUCGAGAAAGGUUAUUCUAUUGUGUUCAAAGAUAAACAAUGCCACAUUACUGAUCCAAGUGGAUCAAGCCUUAUGACAGUCACAAUGACUGAUAAAUGCUUUGAGGUUCACUGGGCAAAUGACUCAAACUCAGCAUACACAGCCUCUGUUGAAGACUCCAAGCUUUGGCAUCAAAGGCUUGGACAUGCUAACUUCAGAUCAAUGGCUCGAUUGGCCAAAGAGGGCUUGGCAGAGAACUUCAUCAGCUCAGUGGAGCAUGAUGAUGUGUGUGAAGUUUGCCAAAUGGGGAAACAGGCAAGAUUGCCAUUUCCUACAAAUUCAGCUUGGAGAGCUACUGAAAGACUGCAGCUGGUGCACUCUGAUGUAUGUGGCCCGAUGAGGACUGAAUCACUCAGCAAAAACAGGUAUUUCAUCCUCUUUAUUGAUGAUCUUACAAGGUUUUGCUGGAUUUUCUUUUUAAAACACAAGUCUGAGGUAGCUCAAGUGUUUGUGAAGUUUAAAAAUGCUGUAGAAACAGAAACAGGUUGCAAGCUGAAAUCGAUAAGGACUGACAAUGGCACUGAGUACACUUCAGCUCAAUUUCAAGCCAUUUGCAAUGAUGCUGGUAUCAAACAUUAGCUUACAAAUGUCUACACACCUCAGCAGAAUGGGGUAGCUGAAAGAAAGAAUAGAAGUCUGAUGGAUAUGGCCAGAUGUCUGCUGUUUGAGAAGGAACUGCCCAAAACUAUGUGGGCUGAGGCAGUAAACACUGCUGUUUACCUUCAGAACAGGCUUCCUACUAAAGCUCUUGCAUCCGAGACACCUUUCGAGGCUUGGUUCAGUUUCAAACCUUCCUUGGCACAUCUGAAGGUGUUUGGUUGCCUGUGUUAUGCACAAAUACCAGCAGCAAAGAGAGACAAGCUCUCCAAAAGGGCUCAACCAGGUGUUCUAGUAGGCUACAGCUCAGUCAAGAAGGGCUACAGGGUUCUGGAUCCCUUGACAAACAAAGUCCAGGUGAGCAGAGAUGUCAUCUUUGAUGAAAAAGCCUGCUGGAAUUGGGAGAAAAAUGAGCCAGAAGCAGUUUCAGAAGACCUAGUGCCUAAUCAAGCUGAACCUGAGCAGCUAGGACCUGAAAUGGAUGUUGAUGAUGUGCCUGUGAGAGGCACAAGGCCCCUAGAUGAUGUUUAUGAAAGGGCACAGGUUGCAAUAGCAGAACCUAGCAGUUUUGAAGAGGCUGAGGCAGAUGAAGGCAGGAAACUAGCUAUGGUCAAUGAAAUCAACAUGAUUGAAAAGAACCAGACAUGGGAGCUAGUUGAUAAACCUGUUGGAAAGAAGACCAUUGGAGUAAAAUGGGUCUAUCGAGUAAAACAGAAUGCAGAUGGCAGUCUGAACAAGCUAAAAGCCAGGCUUGUUGUCAAAGGAUUUAGCCAAAGGUAUGGUCUGGACUACCUGGAGACAUUUGCACCAGUAGCCAGGCUUGACACAGUCAGAAUGAUAGUUGCUUUGGCUGCUCAACAUCAGUGGAUCAUUCAUCAGCUUGAUGUUAAGUCUGCAUUUCUCAAUGGUUUCCUGGAAGAAGAGAUCUACAUCGAGCAGCCUCAAGGAUUUGUGAUCACUGGCAAAGAACACAUGGUGUACAGACUGAAAAAGGCUUUAUAUGGCCUGAAACAGGCUCCUCGAGCCUGGUAUGCUCGAAUUGACUCUUACUUACUCAGUUUGGAAUUUGAGAGAAGUCCCAGUGAACCAACACUGUAUGUGAAGAAGAACCAAGCUGAAACUCAGCUUAUUCUGUCACUCUAUGUUGAUGAUCUAUUGGUAACUGGAGGAGAUAGAAGAAUGCUGGAAAAUUUCAAAAGAAAAAUGAUGGAAAUGUUUGAAAUGUCUGAUUUAGGCAGAAUGAACUACUUCCUUGGAAUGGAAGUGAACCAAACAGAAAAGGGAAUCUUUCUUAGUCAGAGUUCUUUUACUAUGAAGAUCCUGGACAAGUUCUCUAUGAAGAACUGCAAGCCAACAAGCACACCAAUGGCUGUUGGAGUGAAGCUUUCGAGACAAGGGAGUGGUGAACCAAUUUGCGAGGCCAUGUACAAGAUUCUCAUUGGUAGUCUGUUGUAUUUGACUGCCACAAGGCCCGAUAUCAUGUUUGCUGUUAGUGUGCUAUCAAGAUACAUGAAUUGCUGCAAUGAUCAGCACUUUCAAGCAGCUAAAAGGGUGCUAAGAUACAUCAAAGGCACCAUUAGUCAUGGUGUAUUGUUAAAAAGGGCUGAAAACAUGAAGCUGAUAGGCUAUGUUGAUAGUGACUGGGCUGGAUCAAGUGAUGACAUGAGGAGCACAUCCGGAUAUGCAUUCAGUCUUGGCUCAGGCAUGUUUUGCUGGAGUUCUAAGAAACAAAGUCUGGUGGCACAAUCAACAGCAGAAGCUGAAUAUGUUGCUGCUGCAUCAGCUGUGAACCAAGCCAUAUGGCUUAGAAAAAUCUUAGCUGAUUUAAACCAAAACCAAAAGGAGGCAACAGAGAUUUAUUGUGACAACAAAUCUGCUGUUGCAAUUGCAAAAAAUCCCAUUUUUCAUGGCAGAACCAAGCACUUCAAUAUUAAGUUGCAUGUUAUAAGGGAGAUGGAACAAGCUCAUGAAAUCGAGCUGAUUCAUUGCAAUUCAGAAGUGCAAAUUGCUGAUAUCUUCACAAAGGCACUCAAUGUGUCUAAAUUUGUUAAAUUCAAAAGGGAAUUAGGUGUUACUAGCAUGGAAACUAAGGAGGAGUGUUAAGUUUAGUUCCCAUGCAAAGGUGGCCAUGCACGACAUACAAAGGUGGUCAUGCUCCUGGAAUCGCAGCAAGCAGUGGUGCCAUGGUGUGCAGCAAUUAAAGUUUGAAGCUGCCAAUCUAUUUGCUGUUUUAGUUUCAUUUUGAUUGUUUUGUAAUCUAGUUCAUGUUGAACUAAGUAGGUAAAUGUUUUGAUAUUGAUUGACUGAAAAGUCAGCAAUGCAAGUUGUACAAGCUAAUCUUGUAAGUUUCAAUGCAAAUUAGUGGAGUUAGGUAGUUGAUUAGGUGAUUACUUGUUUGUUUUACUUAUUGACUAAUAUAUGUAAUGGCUUAAUGCCUUGUUGUAAUGUUAAUGAAAGAUAUCAGCUCUUUUUCAUUCAAUCUUCUUCUCUCUUUUCUGUUUUUUCACUUGCUAGUUUCAUCUUUCUGUUUUCUGCUUCCGAGCUUGCUUCUUCACCAAGGCUCGAGACUUACUACUCAAGCAAGACUUGAAACAGUUUGUUGCUGCCUCUUGCACCAACAGGAGUUCCGAGAAAUUGUGCGGGGUAUCAUGGAAGAGUUGGGAAAACCCAACUUUGGUGAUAAUUUCCCUAUUGCUAAUCUUGACUUGCAAGGCAUCAGGCGUCGAGUGGCAAUUCUUUUUAGAAAGAUGAUGGAUCUUUUCGAUAAAAUGCUCAAUGAGCGGAUGGAGUUGAGAAGGAUGAAUGAUUAUAUAUCAAUUGAUGAUUUCUUGGAUAUCCUUCUCCAACUCAGCCACCAAGGAAACAGCGAAAAGCUCGACAGAAAUCUUAUCAAACAUUUGAUUUUGGUUGUAACUUAAUCUCUUUUCAGUAAUUUAUUAUUUAAGUUGUAUAAGUUGUUCAACUUGGUAAGAAAUUGUGAAACAGGAUUCGGUUGUAGGCGCAAUCGAGACAACUACAAGUACUUUGGAAUGGGCAAUGGCGGAAUUACUCCAAAACCCAAAAGUUUUGCAGGAAGCCAGAGGAGAACUGAAGCAAAUAAUUGGCGAGGGGAACUUGGUGGAGGAAUCUAACAUUACUUGUUUACCUUAUUUGCAAGCAAUUGUCAAGGAAACGAUGAGGUUGCAUCCAUCGUUUCCUUUAUUACUCCCCAAAAAAGCUGAAGCAGAUAUCGAGAUUCAUAGCUUCGUCAUUCCAAAAGGUACACAACUGUUGAUCAACGCAUGGGCUAUAGGUAGAGAUCCUAAGUUCUGGGAGGUGCCUGACUUGUUUCGUCCAGAGAGGUUCAUAAGAUCAGAAAUGGAUGUUAAAGGAAGGGAUUUUGGACUGAUUCCGUUCGGAGGUGGGCGAAGAAUUUGCCCUGGAUUACCAUUGGCCAUAAGAAUGUUGCACUUAAUGUUGGGUGGACUCAUUCAUUCAUUUGAUUGGAAACUUGAAAAUAACAUCACACCAGAGAGUUUAGAUAUGAAGGAUAAGUAUGGUCUUUUUCUGCAGAAAGCUCAACCAUUAAGAAUCAUUCCGAUUUCAAAUUAACAAUAUUGUGUUGGUUAUUUUAUCUAUAACUAUUGAAGUGUAAUAAGUGAAACUUAGCUAACGACAACUUAUUGUAUCGUAAAUUUCAUGUUUUCAAACUUUCUGCCAAUCAAAUAAAAAUCAUAUAAAUCUAUCAGAAGGAACCGUGUAAUGUGCAGCUAAUAUUAACAUUUGAACUUUAACGAAGGUUCAUUUCAUCUACAACCAAAAACUACUACCGCAAUACAUCUUCAAAAUACAUGGAAUAAGUAGCUUUUUUCGUCGUUACUUGAAGCUUAGUGCUCAGCCAUUUAAUUGGAAAGAGUUUCACCUUUGUUUCUAAGAUCGUUCCGAGAAACUAUGUAGACAAGAAUCCUGGUACCAAGGUUAUCAGUGUAUCUACAAGUACAUAUAUCAAUUUCGACAAACCCUCGUACCUUACUAGUGACAGCUCUUGUAGUUUUUAAAGAAAUGCACAGUUCAUUGUAAAUGGUACAUACACCAAUAGAUUACCAUUAUAUAUAGAAGUGACAAGGAUAAGCUUGCUAAGUUUAUAAUCAAAUUAUACAACAAAUGGGAUGUUAAAUUUGUCCAAGUUCUGAAUAGGGAUGACAAUAGAGCGAGACAGGGUGGAUGCUGUUAAAUCCUUCACCACUCUACAGUUAUCAUGCUCUACUUCACUAUUUGUCUUGCUUCACUGUGGAUGUAUAAUAUUAAAUAUUAUUACCAUCUCCAUAGAUGUUAGAUGCACCCAUCCUUACCCCACCUCACCCUGCUCUUGAAGAUGCUUUAAAACCAUUUUUUGUAACUCGUGUUUGCUUCUUCAUUGAGUUCUCUGCUCAAAGUAGGGAGUAAAAGAAGAAUAGUGGAAGUAGGGUGGUGUGGAGGGAAAGAAGAUGAACAUUAGUAAUGGGGAAAAAAGUUUAUAAAAAAAGAUGAUGUGGUGUGCAUAAUCAACCGACGUUAGAGAUUUAACAUUUGGGUGACUAAAAUAAAAAUUUUCUCUAACGACAGUGACCAAAUUGCAAGUAUUUUUAUUUGGAUGAUCAAAAUGAAAGCACCUAAAGAGUUGGGUGACCAAUUAGGUAGUUUACUCAAAAAUCUAUCUAGUAAUUUUCAAGAUGGCUAAUCUAACUUGUUUAAAAAUUUAAAGUGCUAAAAAUAUUAACUUUUAAGUUUAUUAGAUUUUUUUAACACUUCAUCAAACAAGGCCUAAAUAAAAAAAAAGAAGGAAAAAGAAAAAAUUAAAAAUCAUGAUGCUACACUCCUAUGAAAGAAAAUAUAUAAAAAAAUCAAGUUAAUUGAUAUGAAGUAGGUGUCCAAAUUUUCUAUUGAUAAAAUGUAGUUUAUAAGCUAGAAAAAGUUAAGAAAAUGUGGUUAUUGGUUGAAGGGAUUAUCUUGUCUAAAAGCUUUGCUUUAAUGAUUUAGAUGAAGAAUGGACGGAUAGAUUGUUUAUUUGGCAUCAUUACAACUUUUGACAUCACAAUUAAAAAUAGGUGGAGAAAUGAUAAGGAUUUCAAAUGGAAGAGAGAAAUUGGUAUCCCUCGAAUAUGUGAAUAUUUUUCCAUUUUUAUUUUCAUGGGAAUCAAUGGGAUACAGAUUAUUCCUGGGAAGCUUAUAUAAGUAAUUCAUAAUAUAUGUAUUUGAUUCUGAUUUUUCUAUAUCUGUCAUUCUUAAUUUAAUGAAUGAUAAAAGGUUAAUAGAAUACGUUAGGUAUGAAAAUUAAUAUACUUUUCUAUCUACGAAUGUUGAUUAUAUAAUAUAAAACUAAGAUGGUACUAAAUGUCAAUUCUAAGGCAAAUAGUUUCGUUGAGCUUCAUCCUUGCAAGUAUGAAGUGUGCUUCAAAAAGAGCUUAGAUGUUGACCGACUAGAAAACGGUAAGGGUUUCAAUUUGACCGCUUUGAACCUCCCCCCAAUCUUGAGGAUUUUGCAGCUUGGUGAUUGCUUUCUCCCAUUUUUCUUGCAUGUUGGGUUAAUUUGAAGCAAGCUUGGAUGUUUGUAGGCGCUGUUGAAGUAGUUGAGUUUCCAGAAUUGAAUACAAACGCUGUUGUUGUUUAGAUUCAAUCUCUUUAAGAUAUUGCCGAUGACUUGAAUUCCAAAUUGCAGCUUUAAUGGCGGACAUUGGUUUAUUGCUUCUUUACCCUCUGCAAGCUUUCAUUGAAAACUGAAACGGUCGGCCCUUCCAUUCAAUGUUUCUAGUUCCAUCAUCAGAAAGGAUCCAUGCACUAGAAGGCCCUCCAUAGCUUCAAAUCCCCACCCUAACCCAUCUCUUUACUUUCUCCUUCCUUUCUUUCUCUCUCAAUCAAUCUAAAAGCUUUUACCAAUUGGUCCUCUUUGUGUUAUGUACUAUUCAAAUGGAGGACACAACAGGAAGAUUAAAAUCUUCUCAGCAAGUGUUAGGAAAAAAGGGUUAAUAUGUCCCUUCAACUUCGCAAAUUAAUAAUACUUAAACUUUUUUCUAAUUUAAUCUGAACUGAAUUGAUAAUUUUUUUUAAAUUUUUGGUUGACUAUGUUAAAUUUUAUACUAACACACGUCUUAAAUUUUUUUUUUUGAAAAAUAAAAAUAAAAAUAAAAAAUUAAGAAUUUUAGGAAUUUCUUUUAUUCCAACAUGGAAAAAUCACAUUAACAACUAUUUUUCUAAGUAAUUUGGACAAUAAAACUGGAGUGCCUUAAAAAAUUUUUUUUGACAAUAAUCUCACAUCAAUCAAUCGAAUAUUAAUUAAUACAUAAUCAAUCAAACACUAUUUAAAAAUGGCUCUUUUGCUCAAAAAAAAAUAUUCCAAAUGUUAAGUUCAUUCUAAAAAUGUCUUUCUAGUAAUUUUAUAUUUUUAUAAUUUUAAAAAAAGAUUAAAUAUAAAAUUGGUACUUGAACUUGUCCACUUUUCUUAUAUUGGUACUUGUAAUUUUUUUGUCUUAGAUUGAUACCCAAACUGUUUUUAUGUCCACUAGAUUAGUACCUGAGCCUAACGAUGUUAAUUUUUUGUUGAUGUGGCAGCACUAGCCAUUCACGUUUUGCCACGUGUUAUCCUCUUUGGCUGCAAGUCAAACCCCCUUUAAUUAUUUUUCCUUUCGUUUUCUUUUAAAAAUUAAUUUUUUUUCCUUUCAUUUUUCUUUCACUAUCAUAUUCUACCUCUUCGCCUUCUAGCUCACUUUUAUCUCUUUUGUUUUUUCCUUUCACUAUCUGUUUUGUUUUCUACUUGAUCUCUUCGCUUUCUAUCUAUUUGAUUUUAUCUAUUCAUAACACAUCUUUUAAAGGAAGAAAACAAGCGAAAAUGUCUUUUUCAACAAAUAGAAAAUUAAGUGCUCAAAAAAGUUUUUGUACCCAUAAUGUUCAAAACAAAGAAACCAACAAAUUCAAAGAACAAAUAACAAACAAUAAAGAAUCCAACACAUUCAAAGAACAAAUAACAAACAAACAACCCAAAAUCUUAAAGAAGAAAAAAAAAGAACCUGAUAUAUUCUCAAUUUCAAUCUCAGUAACAAAUAAAGAAUUUAAAAUUUUCAACCCAAAAUCAUUUCAACUAGAAAAAAAGUUAACAACCUAAUAUAAUAGCAAGAACCUAAAAUGAGAGCAACAACCUAAAGAAUUACAAGAAUUUAAAAUUAUUUAAAAAUAAGAAAUUUACAACCAGAAAGAUAGCAAGAACUCAAAAAAAAUAAAUGAAAUACAAGAAUUUAAAAAACCCUAAAAAACCUACGGAUCCAAUGAACAACAAAGGCAAUUCCUCUCUUGAAUUUGUUAACCCUUAACUCCAUGACCUGAAGAACUUCUACUAGUCUCUAAGAAAAUUGAUUCUCUGUUGUUGCCUUGGCAGCGGUGUUGCUACUACUCCCUUUGGCUCCUCAACUCACUUUUAGCCUCACCAAAAGCCUCCUUAGUCUUUCUUCAGCAAGCGGAGAGUAUAAUUUCAAAAGCUCAAGGAUCAAGUUUUGAUUUUUUUUAUAGCUUUAAAGAGAUUUUCUUGGAAAUACAAGGCAAGAUUUGAGAAGAUAAGGAAGAGAGAAGUGUUGUAACACCCCACACCCGUACCCUACGUCGGGAUAAAAUACGAUGCGUUACUAAACUUAAACACAUGUAUUCAAAUGUUUCCGAGUCACCAAGACUUGAUCGAAUUUAAAACUUUUUUGAACCUUGUCUAAACUCCUUAAUAUGGGCCUACGAUGCCUCAAACAUUCAUUGGAAACCAUUUGGGGACCAACCUGGGUCAUUUAACUAACCUUAGAAAAAUAACUCUUAAAACAGGGCACACGUUUGUGUGGAAGGGCAACACGCACGUGUGGUUAUUAUAACACGGCCAUACUGAUAGCCCAUGUGACACACACGACCUAAGCAUAUAGGGACAGGUCCGUGUCCCAUGCCUGUGUGAAUUAAAUUCUAAUUCGAACCUACAGGGGUUUCAUACGGCCUGACACACGCCCGUGUCUAUAGCCUGUGUCUCUCACACGGCCAUGACACGCCUGUAUCUUAGCCCCUGUCUAAAAACCUUGACAUUAUGUUUCUGACCUCAGCAUCUAAUUUAGGGCACACGGCCAAGGCACAUGCCUGUGGCCAGAAGCCGUGUCCUCCACAUGGUUGAGAUACACGGCUAUGUCUCUACCCGUGUGUUUACUAACAUACAUUCUGACUUGCAAAUUUUACGUGCAAGGGACACACGGCCGAAUAACACACCCAUAGGGUUGGCCGUAUGUCACACACGGCUUAAACACACGCUCGUGUGUCUACCCGUGGGGACAAUAUAGGGCUAUCUACCAAGCCUUUGCCACCCUGAAACACAAUCUAACAUCAACCAACAUAUCAAAGAUUAACUUAAUAUGAUUUCUCAACCAAACAGCCAUAGCUAAGACCUAUAUACAUUACAUAUAUUCAACCAUGCCAACAAUUUCACAUUCAUGAAAGACUAGCUUGCAUUCACAUAAUAACUUUCAAUAUUAGCCAUUUUCCAUGGCCUUAUACAAAAUGAAUCAAAUGCUAAGCUAAGCUAUCAUAUUUGGCCAAUUAACAAUGACACAAAACUUAAAAGUCUAAGUUCCUAUACAUGCCAUAUUCAAAAUGAUAAAUCUAAUUAUACCGAGUGCUUCAGUUGAUAGUGUGAUUAAUGCCUCCGACGUCUGUUGAUCUUCGAGCUAGUUAGGCGGCACUAUAAGAAAAUAGAAAAGAGAGGGAGUAAGCAUAAAGCUUAGUAAGUUGUAUGCAAAUAAAUAUAGCAACAACUUUCCCAUUCAUCAUCAUGCUUAUAGUACAAAAGUAGGCAUAAGCACAACUUACUCGUCACUAACCAAUACAAUUCACAUAGCAUAUAUAUUGAGCUCACGUAUCAUACAUUUCAAAUAGGAACCUGUACCACUCACAACAUGGUUAUACUUUUCUCGUUUGACUUAAACUAUAACUCUUACCGUUGAACCAUUUGGAAAGCUAUUCGAUAUUCAUUAUGCCUCAAACAUAGGGUAUAAUGCCGCUGCCAUGUCUUAUACAUGGUCUUACACUGGCUGAUCCAUCAAGUCGAUGCCAUAUCCAGACAUGGUUUUCACUGAUUAUCGAAAUCGAGGCUGACGCCAUGUCCCGGACAUGGUCUUACACUAGCUCUCACAUAUUCAUGCCGAUGCCAUGUCCCAGACAUGGUCUUACACUGACACAUCUCGUAGCUGAUGCAUGUCCCAGACAUAUCUUACACUAGUACACCAAUAACCCGAAUGUCAUGGCAUGAAUAUCCGAUUUAUUUCCUAAUGUUCAAACGGGAGUUCCACUAUCUCAAUAUUUAUCAUACAUAAUCAUUUUCACAAACAAGCAAUUUAUGCUAUAUCAAUUCAAACACAUACAAUAACAAUGUAGUUGUAUUAUUUACUACAACUUACCUCGAUAUACAAAAUGUAGACACUAGUUCGGUUUAGUCCACUUGUUUUACUUUUCCUCGGUCUAGGCUCGGAUUUUGUAUUUCUUGAUCUAAAAUAAUAAAAAUUCAUCCAUUUAGUCACUAGAUAAAUUUAUACAAUAAAAAGUUCACAUUUUUGGCAAAAUGACCAUUUUGCCCCUAGACUCGAAAAUCCAUUUUUUAUCAAAUUUCUUCAUGCCUUAAGCCUAGCUGAACCCUUUUUACUCUUAUAGAAACCCAAAAUUUCCAUUAUUUCACACAUUUGUCAUCUAUUUUUACAACUUAUGCAAAAUGGUCCUUAGUUAGGGUUUUCAUGAAAAUUACUUCACAAAAGUUGUUUAUUUUACAACCAUGAUUCAUUUCCUUCCAUAAAAUUUCAGAAAAAAAACAUGAAUAUUCUCAUGUUAAAACCCUAGACUCUCAAUCAUUUUGCAAAAUAGUCCCCCCAUUAGCUAGCUCAUGCCACAAGGGUUCCAAAAGUACUAAAAUUAUAAAAAAUAACCAUCUAAAUCACUUACUUGAGAGGGAGAUGAAUGGUUGGAAGUUUUAACCUUCAAAGCCCUUACUCUUGCUGAAAAUUUCGGUGAAGAAGGAGAUGAGAAAGGGUUGAUAUCAUCCCUUGUUUAUUUUAUUUCUUUUUAGUCAAAUAAGCCACCAAAUUUUUACCUAACAUUUGACUAUCUAAUUUCUUUGUCUAAUGGCCGAUCAAGCACUAUUCUAGGGUCUAUUUUCUCUUUAAAGAUCCCCAAUUAAUGAUACAUGGAAAUUUAAGACCCUUAGCUAUCAAAUUAAGACUUUUGCACUUUAUGCGAUUUAGUCAUUUUUCACAAUUAAGCAUGAAAUCGCUAAAAUUAACUCACCAAAAUUUUUAUACUCUCAUAUAAUCAUGCCAAAACACAUAAAAUAAUAUUAAAAAUAAUUUCUCUGCCUUCGGAUCAGUGGUCCCGAAACCACUGUUUCAAUUGGGCUUAAAAUCGAGAUGUUACAAGUGUUUUAAUGGUCGGAUCGGCUGGAGAAGGCCAUGGAUGGUGGCAACUCAUGGCAGUGACAACUAAGGUUAAAAGAAGAGGAAUAUGGAGAAGAAGAGAAGAAGACAUUGUGUGUAACAGCCUAAUUUUUAGUGGUGUCGGAACAGUGAUUUGAGAUCACUGAAUCAGACAAAUGAGUAGGAAAUAUUAUUAAUUUAGUGAGUAUAAGUUAAAUGUGAAGUUAGGAAAAAUUUUGAAGUAGUGAAUAGUGUACUAAAAAUAAAUAUUAAAAUAAUUAGAAUCGAAAACGAGGUAUUGAGACCUCGAGAAUUUUAAAUCGAGCAAUAAAUAUUUUUAUAAAUAUUUAUGGAGUGUUAAUAAGUCAGUAUUAAAGUUUCGUCAAGAAAUUUUAAAGUUCUGAUAGUUAAUUGAACAAAAAAGACUAAAUUGUAUUAAAUGCAAAAUUGUGAGAAAUGAUUAAAUAGCUUAAAUGAUAAAAGAAAGAGGGUUUAAAAGGAAAAUAGACCCAAGGUCUCUUUGCGCUGGAUGGCAAUGGCAUGAAAUCAGCAAGAAAAUAAGGAGAAUUAAGGGAAAAAUUGCAAAAUUGCAAAAUUUACUUAAUAAAGCUAGGACUAAAGUGGAAUUAUCUAGAUUGCUCUUUAUUUUUCUGCAUUCUCAUCAGAAAAAACACCAUGGAAGAGUUCCCUUGAGCUGGUUUUUUUUCAUAUUUUUACUUCAGGUAAGUUCAAUUCUUGAUUAUUUCUUAAAUUUUUUUGUGUUUUUGUGACUUUUACAACUAGGUCCACUAGUUAAAUUCAUUAGUUUUUGAUUCUAUGAAAGAAAUUGAAAGUUGCUAUGAAUAUGUGCUGGAAGUAUAUGAUGAUUUUUCAUGGAAUUAGAGCUUUAAAUUGUUUAUAUGCUGAUUUUAUUGAAACAAUUGAAUAGAAAGUGAAUGUUUGGGACCUAAUUGUAAAAGAGUUUGAAGUUAGAGUUUUAUGUAGAAAUUAUGAAUUUAAAUAGUUAUGAAAUAACUUAUAAUGUCUAGGAAAAGUAUUAAUUGAGAAAAUUAUCUUAAUUGAGGGGUUAAUUGAGCAAGGACUGAAUUGUAUGAAUUGUGAACUUUGGGGCAAAAUGGAAAUCAACAUUUUGCACUAAAACUGUUUUGGACAGCAGCAGUAGUCUAACUUUGAAAAAUCACCAAAAAUUGUAGAAAUGGAAUUAGAGGAUGAAUAAAUAUGAAAUUAAAGCUUAUUGAGUCUAGUUUCUUAUAGAAGAAAUGAUGUAAGCAAUGGAAUUGUAAAUCAUGAGAUAUGUUAAAUUUUGUGAGACAAGGUCAGAAUGAUUUCGGGUUCCCCUGUUCUGACUUUGUAAAAUCAUCAAAAAUUGGAUAAAAAUAAUUAGGGCUUAAAUUUAUAUGUUUAGAAUCUUGAAUGAGUCUAUUUUCAAGAGAACAAACGGGAACAUCAUUCGAAUCCUGUACGAGGAGAUAAUUAAUUUUUAGUGAAGAAGGGUCGGAGCUGUCAGACAGCAGAACAGGGGAGACUUCAAUGAAUAAAAUGUAUUAAUUGGCCUAACCAAAAAUUAUGAAAUUUUUAUGGUAAGAAUAUAUAUGAGUAUAGUUUCAUAUAAAAUUAGCGGAUCUUAAUUUUGAGUUCUAUAGCUCUAUAUAUAAAUAAUUUAGUGACUAUGACACGGGUGGAUAGUCUGACUAUUCACAUAAGUAAUUAGUGAAAAUUAUGGAUAAGGUUACUUACAAGUGUGUUAUUUAUACCAAGGAUGUGGAUGGAGAGGAGGAGGGGGAAAAAUAUACGAAUGACUCGUGUAUAAAUUAAAUACAUGCCCGAUUAUAAUCGAUAAGUGUUGGAUUAGAAAUGAUAUAAUGUUUUAUGUGGAAUAUUUAUUAUGAAAUUAUGAUUAUCGUUAUAAUACAAAAUUUGUACUUGUGAGUUUAUAUGGCUAAAUUUUAGUGAUUAUUUGUUAAUUUUAUGAAUUUCAUGAUGUGUUAUUUCAUAUGUAUUAAUGAUAAAAUCGUGGAUAAUGUAAAAGUAUGAAAAUUGAAUAAAUGAUCAAAUUGAGCAUUUCAGUUCAGUGACAAGAUGAAUUAAAGGAAAAGACCAUAGUUGGACCAUGGCAACAAGUGAUAAGUGAUAGCUUCGGCUACACUUAUCUGAUCAAGGAUAAGUGAAAGUGAUAAGUAAUAGCUUCGGCUACACUUAUCUGAUCAAGGAUAAGUAAAAGUGAUAAGUAAUAGCUUCGGUUACGCUUAUCUGAUCAAGGACAAAUGACAAGUGAAAAGUGGUAGCUUUGGCUACCUGAUCAGUGAAAAGUGGUAGCUUCUGCUACCUGAUAAGUGAAAAGUGGUAGCUUCUGCUACCUGAUCAGUGAAAAAUGGUAGCUCCGACUACCUAAUCAAUGAAAAAUAGUAGCUCCGGCUACCUGAUCAGUGAAUAGUGGUAGCUUCGGCUACAAGUGACAAGUGAUUUCCGUAUAAGACCAUAUCUGGGAUAUGGCAUCGGUGUGAUAUAUGCUACUGUAUAAGACCAUAUCUGGGAUAUGGCAUCAGUGAGAUAUGUGAUUUGUGUAAGACCAUAGCUGGGCUAUGGCAUCGAUAUGUGAUAUGUGAUUACGUGUAAGACCAUAGCUGGGCUAUGACAUCGAUAUAUGAAGAUGUGUAAGACCAUAGUUGAACUAUGACAUCGAGUAAACGAAGUACUCAAUUCCGUAUGACGUUCACUAAUUUGACAAAGUUUGGUAAGUGUUACAUGGAAUUAUGUGAUACAUGAAGUACGAGUUGAUAAGAUAUGAGUAUAGAACUUGGUUGAUAAAUGAAUUCAUUUGUGAUUAUAUAAUUGUUCAUCUUGAAUGUACUAUCCAUAUGUAUUGAUAAUUCAAACGUAUUAAUGAAUAAAGUUCCAACAUGGAAUAAAUUAAACACGAGACAAAUAAUUAUGAAAUUGAACUCGGAAUUCAUGAAAAUGAUGGUUAUUGAUAUAUAGAGACAUGAGACAUUGGUAUAUGAAUAUGGAAAAUAUUUGAUAAAUGUGUUUAUUCAUAAUUAUGGAAUUAUAUACCUCAUGUGUACUAUUUGCAUAAAGAUGAUAUUUCAAAUACUUUGGUUAUUUAAGCUUAAAUAUGAAACAGUAUGAAAUCAAGAUAAGUUGUUAUAAAAAUAUAUUUAGAUUACAGAGAUAUGGCUAAUGUAUGUUGUAUGAUUACAUAACGUGAAAUUGUGUAUAUAUAUGAGAAAUUUAAUGAGAAAUGAGCCCAUACACGUUUCUUGUUAUUUAUAUGAAGUGUACGACUGACAAGGGUGAUGAAGUUAUAAACAGAGAGUUACACGGGUUGAAAACACGGGCUUGUGACUCUCCAAAGUGUGAAAAUUUUCUAAGUGUUGCAAAAGUUUCAUAUGUUUACGGUUUGGUCCCGAACCACCCUGAAUGUAUGUUUUGGGCCCCAUAGGCCCAUAUAAGGGACGUUAAACAUAUGUAUGAAAGUUUUUAAUUUAGAAGAAAUUUUAUGGCUGAUUUUUACAUGAUUGAUCAUAUUAAGUUCGGUAAUGCCUCGUACCCUAUUCUAGGCUCGGAAUAUUGGUAGGGGGUGUUACAUUGUGGCCAGGGUAGGAAAAAGAAAAAGAAAAGGAAGAAAAUGAGGAAAAAUGAAAAAAAAAGGUACAAAGAGGAUGACAUGUGGCACCAUAUGAGUGGUCAGUACUACCAUGUUAGCUCAAAAGUAACAAUGUUAUGCUUAGGUACCAAUAUAGUUGACGGAAAAAAAGUUUGGGUACCAAUUUAAGAUAAAAAAAAUCAUAAGUACCAAUCUGAGAGAAGUGGAAAAAUUUGGAUACUAAUUUAUAUUUAUCCUUUUUAAAAAUUAAAAUAUAAAAUUAUGGUGUAAAAUGACAACAAGAAUUUUAGAUAAUUUUCAAUUUUUUAUAUUUUGACCUUUUCUUAAAUUUUAGGAUGUUUAUUGUUUUUUUAUUGAACAGGCAUAAUCAACCUUAACAAAUGACUAUGGACAACAACGUCUCCAAAUUCAUUCUUAAUGUUUCCUUUUUAAUAAUUUUUAUUUUUAAUAAUUUAAAAUAAUAAUAAAUUUAAAAUAAAUUCCAUAUUUUAAAAUAAGCCUUAAACUUCAAUACUUAAAUUAUUUAUAAUCAUUUUAAAUUUUCAAAUAUUCAACAAUAUAAAAAUUUAAAACGCAAAUUUUUAUAUAUUUAACCAAAUAAUUUAUAUUUGAUUUUUUUUAUUUUGAUAUUUGAUUUUUUAAUUAUCCUUGAGAACGUUUUUUUUUAAUUCUCCAAUUAACCAAAAUUUUAUUUAAUUAUAAAAAUCCAAUUUAAGGAAACUUUCGAUUGUGUUAGUAUGUUUAUUUUUCAUCCCACUUGAAUUUUUUUAUAAAAAAAUUUGGAAUUCAUUUUUUAUUUAUAUUAUUAUUUUUGAAAUUAUAAAAAUAAAAUAAAAUUCCCAUAUAUAUAUGUUUAGAAUGAACAUGGUCACACUGUUAUCUAAAUUUAAAUAAAUCUAGAAAAUAGUUUGUUUAAGUUUAUUUUACACAGGAAAUUAAAAAAUUAAAAAAUUUCUAAAAAACCUAUAGCUUAUUUUAAAGUAAUACUUUUUAUGCUAUUAUUUUUUGAAAUCAUAAAACUAUUAGAAAUACAAGUUUAGAAUUAACCUAAACAAUUAUUUGUUGUGAUUCAUUAUAUAUGCACAUGAAAUUAAAAAAAUAAAAAUCCUAAAAUUUCUAAUUUUCUUUAAAGAAAUAGAUAUAUUUUAAGACACACGUGAAUAUUCUAUUGGUUUUUAGCAUAAAAUUAUAAAAUUUAAUGCCACCAAAGUACCUAAAAAUUAGGUAUAAACUAAGAGAAAUUAGGUAUAAAUUAAGUACUCCAAGUUGAAAGGCUAAGAAAAAACUGGAAAUUAAAAUGUUUUUACUACUGCCACAAUAAAUAUAGUGCAUAGCUAAAUAGUUAGUAUAGGGAAGAGGAUGAUUCUCAUGCAAAGUAAUAUUGUAAUUUUUUUUUAUUUUUUUGAUAACCGUUUUAAAUUUAUUAAUAUUUUUAAAAAAUAUUAAAUAUAUGUAUAUAAAAAUAUUAAAUAAAUAAAUUUCCAAUAUGAAACAUGCAUCAAUUAUAUAAAAUACUAAUCAAUAAAGUUUACAAAUAAAAAAAAAUAUUUUGCAACAAAUGUCAAUAUUAUCUCAUUAAUUAAACAACAAAAUAACUAAACAUAUUAGAUGAAAGGUGCAUAAAAACUUACGCACGAAGCUAUGUUCAUGAAUCUUUAAGCUUCUCGCCUUGUAAUUGUUAUAUAAAAUUUGAUAGCCGAAAAAUUCUAUUGUUUACAUUUCGUGUAACUCAUGUAUCGUAUUUGCUUGAUUCUAUCUCUGUAAUUGUUGAUUUAGUUAAUGGUUCAAAGUAUUAAGGUGUUAGGUACUAAUUAUGAAUGUUGAUUAAAUAAUAAUAAUAAUAUAAAAUAAAAAUGCAUGGCAAAUCAGAUGUGUAAUAGUAGUAGCUACAAUAGAUCUCAAAAUUUAGGGUGGUAAAGCCUUUGUGCUGUUGGUUACUAGCAUUUUGAGCCUGUGCCAUUUGACAAUGAAAGCCUUUUAAAUUUGUGUAACAUUAUAUAAAUUGCUAUAAAAUUAUUGCUUCAUUCAAAACAAAGAAUUGGUAUUUCUUAUACACUGAAAGAGGUACUUUCUAUUGUGUAUAACAGCAAGCAAUUAAUAUGGAUUUCUUGAGUUGCUUACUGUACUUUGUUUUCUACUUGAUCUUGUUUCAAGCUUUCCAUUUUAUCACAAGAAGGAAACUGGGAAGAACCCACAAGCUUCCGCCCGGUCCACCAACAAUUCCAAUCUUCGGGAACCUCUUUCAGCUUGGUGAUGAACCCCAUAGGGCCCUUGCCAAACUUGCCAACAUUCAUGGGGACAUCAUGACUUUGAAACUUGGCCAAACAACUACGCUAGUUCUUUCGUCUGCAGCCAUGGCCAAAGAAAUCCUCCUAACGUACGAUGCCAUAUCUUGUAACCGAACCGUUCCAGGUGCCCUUCGUGCCCUUCAACACAACGAAACCGGAUUGCCUUGGAUGUCUGUUUCAACCACAUGGAGAAAUCUUAGGAAAAUCUGUAAUUUGCACAUUUUCGCUAGUCACAAACUUGACGCUAACCAACACUUGCGGCGUAGCAAAAUAGAGCAACUCCUUGCUGAUGUUCGUGAUAGUUCCCGCGUAGGGGAAGCGAUCGAGAUAUCCACCAGUUGUUUUCAAAACUACACUUAAUCUUUUGUCCAAUACUAUUUUCUCUAUCGAUUUAGCUGACUCUUCAGAUAGUGCUCUGGAAUACCAAAAAAUUGUGCGAGGUGUCAGGGAAGAGUUAGGAAAACUCAAUUUUGGUGAUUAUUUCCCUACUCUUCUUGAUAAUCUUGACUUGCAAGGUAUAAGGAGGCGGAUGUCGAUUCAUUUUGAGAAGUUGAUGAAUAUUUUCGACAAACUGAUAGAUGAGCGGUUGGAGUUGAAAAAGAUGGAUGAUUAUAUAUCAACUAAUGAUUUAUUGGAUACUCUUCUCCAACUCAGUAAACAAGAUAGCAACGAAGAGCUCGACAGAAAUUUGAUAAAGCAUUUGAUUCUGGUUUUUAACUUCAUCUCCUUUCUGUCUUUUAUUAUUUAAUUUCAUAACUUGGUAAUAAGAAAUUGUUUUGAAACAGGAUUUGUUGAUAGCGGGGACGAAUAGUACUUCCAGUACUUUGGAGUGGGCAAUGGCAGAAUUAUUCCAUAACCCAAAACCUUUACGGGUAGCUCGAAGAGAACUGCAACAAGUAAUUGGCGAAGGGAACCCAGUGGAGGAAUCCCACGUUACUUGUUUACCUUAUUUGCAAGCAAUUGUUAAGGAAACGAUGAGAUUGCAUCCUCCAAUUCCCUUGUUACUUCCUCGAAAAGCUGAAGAAGAUAUUGAGAUUCAUAAUUUCGUGGUUCCAAAGGGUGCACGAGUGUUGAUCAACGCAUGGGCUAUAGGUAGAGAUCCUAAUUUUUGGGAGGAACCUGACUUGUUUCUUCCUGAGAGGUUCAUAAGAUCAACAAUUGAUGUUAAAGGAAGGGACUUUGGACUCAUUCCAUUUGGGAGUGGUAGACGAAUUUGCCCUGGAUUGCCACUAGCCAUGAGAAUGUUGCACUUAACGUUGGGUACACUUAUUUAUUCAUUCGACUGGGAACUUGAAGAUGGAGUUACACUUAAAAGUUUAAGCAUGGUUGAUACAUGUAAUCUUGUUCUACAGAAAGCUCAACGAUUAAGACUUAUCUCACGUUCAAUUUAAUAAUAUUGUAUUAAAUUGAAGAGAAAUAAUUGGAACUUAGAAAAUAAGCUUUAAAAUAGCAAUAAUUCCAAAAAUUCUAUUGUUUACAUUUUCGUCGGAGCCAAUGACAUAUAGAUUAUUUUCGUGUAAUUUUAUGUAAGUAAUUCAAAUUAUAUUUGCUUGAUUCUAUCUUUGUAAUUGUUGAUUUAAUCCAUGCCCCAGCCCCCGUAAAAUGUAAAAUUAUUUUUAGGCCCUUAAAAUUUUUUAAAAAUUUUAAAUUAAUAAAAGUAAAAUUACACUUUGGCCCCCCUAAAAUUAUAAAAAUUCGUUUUAAUUCUUUACAAAUUAUAAAGAUAUAAACUAUAAAAAAUUAAAAUUUCAUCCGGCCCCCUAAAACAUUUUUCGGUACAUAAAAUAGAUUAAGGUGUUAGGUAUGAAAUUUAAUUAUGAAUGUUCAUUUACUAAUAUAAAAUAAAAAUGCAUGGCAAAUCAGAUGUGUAAUAGUAGUAGCUACAAUAGAUAUAAAAAUUAUCUUCUCAGAAUUUAGCCUUGUAGCCGUACCAUUUGGCAAUGAAAGCCAUUUAAAUUUGUGUAAGCACUACAGCAAAACUGACUUUUAGCGGCAUUUUUAGGCCUUUAGCGGCGCUUUUAAGCGCCACUAAAACUAUUAGCGGCGUUUUUGCAAGCGCCGCAAAAAACAUCGCUUUUCCCACAAACGCCGCUAAAGGUCAUAAAAAUUAAAAAAAAAUAAAAUAUUAUAAAAUAUUGUAAAAGUCCUAAAAAAUAUAAAAAAAAUAAAAUUCAUUAUCAAAAUAUUGAGAAGAAGAAUAAUCUAUGAUAUAAAUACAUCCCGCCAAAUACCGCACUUAUCAUACUACACCAGAAAUCUAACAAAAUACAAAUAGAACAAAAUAAGGAUGAAUGAAAGACAUUAAUGAUAUAUAAAAUCAUUGUUUCUAAUGCAUAUGUAGAAAUCAAGCCAUGGUGUGCACCAAGGAUCCGGCUCUCGUAAUAGCACCAGGCCUUGAUCAAAAUAAUAAUACUGCGUUUGAAAAGAUGAUCUUUUCCAAUUAGCUGGUCAACCUGAAAAAUAAACAGUUCAAAAGAAGUCAUAUGUCAAUUAAACUUGCCACCUGUAAUAUCCCGAAUUAGGGCCUAAUCGGAAUAGUGGUUUCGUAACCACAAAUCGGAGAUAGAAAUAAUUAUUUUAUAAUUAUUUUGAGGUUUAUGAUAUGAUUGCAUGAUUGUGUGAAAAUUUCGUAAUGAAAUUCUAUGCCUAAAGUGCUUAAAUUGAAAGUAGGGACUAAAUCAAAUAAGUUGCAAAACUUGCAUUCCAGAAGUUUUUAGUAUAAAAUUGUUUUGGAAUAUUAAUGAGGAGGUCUUAAAUAGCAAUUUGACCAAUUUUAAGUUCAUGGACAAAAUUAGGACAUGGAAGGAAUUUUUGGAAAGUUUAGUAGUAAGGGUAUUUUGGUCAUUUAGUUAUUAAAAUGAAUUAAAAACAAAAUUAAAAGUCAAUUUUUGUCCAUCUUUUUCAUUAGGCCGAAAUUUCAAGGGUUCUCCAUAGCUAGGGUUUGUUUCAAGCUUCCAAGCUCCAUAAUCAAGAAAGACGUGGAAUCGACCUCAAUCGAGGAAAAGAAAAGAUUGUGGACUAAAUUACAAAAUCUUUGUAUUUUGGUACCAAGGUAAGUUCAUGUGUAAAUAAUGUAGCAUAAUGGUUAUUUUUAAAUUAUUGAUGUUAAUUAUAUGUUAUGCUAAAUUUUAUUAUGAAAUGUAUGUUUUGUGGUUAAUUUAAAAUAAUAUGUAAAUUAUGUGAACUACUUGUUAAAUAUAAUUGUUACCGAGUAUUGAUUUCGGCAUUCUACGGAAGACGGCAAGGAUAAGUGUUCGAGGAAAAAGCCCGUUUGAACCUUAGGAAUAGAUUAGGAUACAAGUGACAUGUCACUAGGAUGGUUGAGCAUCCGAACUCGUUGAGUUGAGUCCGAGUUCACUUAUGGAUACGAAUGUCCGAACUCGUUGAGUUGAGUCCGAGUUCGUGAGAUGUAACUAGGCAGCCGAACUCGUUGAGUUGAGUCCGAGUUCACUCAUGGAUGCGAACGCCCGAGCUCGUUGAGUUGAGUCGAGUUCGCUUAUGGGCGGGUUACAUGAUUGCUUGAUUGAAUAUGUGGCACUUAUAUGCAAAUUAUCCAUGUAUCCGAAUUAUAUUCCGAUGUGUUCAACGGGUAAAGUUCUACUCAAUGGAGGAAUAUUCGAGAUGUAAAGAGAAGUAUUGGUGAGUGAUGUGAAAUGGAUAUUUUGGACAGGUAUGUAUUUAACCCUCGGGUUGAGUAUUGAUACAACCACUAUAAGGUAAUAAGAUGAUGAAAAAUGAUCAGAAAUGUGAUAUGUGUUUUAGUGAUGUAUGCUAAUGUUGAUUGGUAUAACUGUUUGUUAUGUUACUUAUUAUUUGCAUAUGAACUUACUAAGCAUUUAUGCUUACUCCCUCCUUCUUACUCAUUGUAGUUUUGGACAAGCCAGCUCAGGAGUCAGGAUAGGUCGAAGGCUCAGUCACACUAUCCGGAAGACUUUUGGUAAAUGGCUUGUAAAUUUAUGUAUGGCAUGUAUAGCAAUAUACCUAUUUUGUGUAAAUGAUCUUAUGGUAUGGUUGUGGAAUGGUUGAGGAAAUGCUUGAUAAUGAUAAAUUAUGAAAAUGGUUAGUGUAGAUUAUGUUUGAUGUUAAGGAAAACUAUUAAGAUACUUAGUGCAUAAAAACUCAUAAAAAGGAUGAAAUUUGCCAUAAACAGAAUACUGCAGCAACACUGACGCGAGUUUGAAAAUUUAUUAAAAAUCAUAGCAAUUGAAUUUGGUGAUGGAAUACAUAUCAAAUUGAAGCUUAUUAUUUCUAGUUUCACAUGAAACAAAUGAAACAGGUAAAGGAAUUAUAUGUUAGAAGAUAUUUGAAUUUUAGUGAAACAGGGUCAUAGCAGUUUUUGAAUCCCCUGUUCUAACUUUAGAAAUUCAUUAUAAAUUAUAAAGAUAUAAUUAGGUGGUAUAUUUUAUAUCCUCAGAAUCCUUAUUGAGUCUAGUUUUAGUAGAAACAAAUCUCAUAGUCAUAUGAAUUUUGUACAGAGAGAAAUGUUGUUCGUAGUAAACAGAGGUCAGACCAGUCGAGUCCUGAAACAGGGGUAACUUUAACUAAUAAACUGUACUAAUUGGCCCAACCAAAAAUUCUAGAAAAAAUUUAGUAGAUAGGUAUAUGAGUCUAGAUUUAGGGAAAAUUUACGGAUCUUGAUUUCGAGUUUCGUAACUCAAGAUAUGAUUUUUCUUGUGACUAUGAGGCAAGUAGCUUAAAAGCUGUGAAUGUAGAAACAAUAAUCCAAAGUUCUAAAAAUGUUAAACUAAGCUUAGUAACACCUCAUACUCGACUCCGGCGAUGGUCUCGGGCGUGGGGGCAUUACAUUUAGUGGUAUCAGAGCAGGUUUAGUCAGUUCUCGAACUACGUGUUGUAUGUACGGAUUUUGCUAUACAUGCCAUAUGUAUGAAUUGUGAUAGUGUGACGACUUCUGACAUUUUUAAAAGAUUUUUAUAUAGUAAAUGGAUCCCGAUCCAGCUGUGACAGAUGAAGUAGAGAGUAAUGCGCCAGCUCCGGCUGAAGGAGCAACGCCGACUGAAAAUCCACCUCCUACUGUUGGUCAGGGAGGAGGAGAAAGGGGUCGGGAAGCCUUUCUCCAAAUGAUGAGUGCAUGGUACACUGAGUUCGUUCGUACGAACCCAAAUGUACGACCUCCCCCAAUUCCUCAACCUGUACCCCCGAUGCCUCAAGGUAUGAAUAUGAUAAAAUUUCACAGAACCCCUGUUGACAGAAUUCGUAAACAAGGGGCUGAAGAAUUUAGAGCAAAUAUUGAUGAUGAUGCAGAGAAAGCAAAGUUCUGGCUUGAAAAGUCUAUCCGGGUAUUUGAUGAAUUAUCUUGUACACCUGAAGAAUGUUUGAAAUAUGCUACAUCUUUGUUGAGAGAUUCAGCCUAUAAUUGGUGGAAGACUUUGAUUUCAGUGGUGCCGAAAGAGAGGGUAACCUGGGAAUUCUUUCAAGAAGAGUUUCAGAAGAAAUAUAUUAGUGAAAGGUUUAUUGAUCAGAAAUGUAAAGAGUUUCUUGAGCUGAAGCAAGGUAAUAUGACAGUCUCAGAAUAUGAAAGAGAGUUUGUUCGAUUAAGUAUGCUAGGGAAUAUGUUCCUACAGAAGCCAAGAUGUGCCGACGAUUUGAAGACGGGCUUAACGAAGACAUUAAAGUAUUUGUCGGGAUCCUUGAACUAAAAGAAAUGGUAGUACUGGUCGAUCGAGCUUGCAAGACUGAAGAACUACUUAAAGAAAAGAAAAAGGUAGAGGCUGAGACUAGAAAUUAGAAGAAAAGACCGAUGAGCGGUUCAUUUUCACAGCAACCUAGAAAGUCAAGGAAUAUGAAUCCUCGUUCCCAAGCUUCAGUUGGGCAAUCAUAUGGGAAUUAUAGGAAGCAAAAUGUGGGUCCUAAAUCCCAGACUACUUCGACAGCCAGUGUAGGGAACUCGAGAUUUGUUAAACCUGAGUGCCAGCGGUGUGGUAGAAAUCAUUUUGGUCCGUGUAGAGCAAAUGAAUGUUUUCGAUGUGGUUCUCCGGAUCAUUUUAUUAGAGACUGCCCAGAGAGAGCUGAAAAAGAAAAAUUUCAGAAUACAAAAGCUAGUGGUGCAGACUCGAGAGGAAGAUAUUCGGGAAAAGCUGGAAAUGAAGCAAGCAGCAAGAAUGUAGCCAGAGAUUCAGCAGCUAAAUCUGAAGUAAGGGCUCUAGCUAGAACUUAUGCCAUAAAGGCACGUGAAGAUGCUUCCUCACCUGAUGUGAUUACCGGUACAUUCUCUCUAUAAUGUUAAUGUUAUUACUUUGAUUGAUCCCGGUUCUACUCAUUCAUAUGUAUGCAUGAAACUGGUGUCUAGUAUGAAUAUACCUGUUGAGAACACAGAAUUUAUGAUUAAAGUGUCGAACCCGUUAGGCAAAUGCGUGAUAGUUGAUAAAGUAAACAAGAAAUGUCCUUUAAUGAUUCGAGAUCAUUACUUUCCGGCCGACUUGAUGUUGUUGCCGUUUGAUGAGUUUGAUAUUAUUUUGGGUAUAGAUUGGUUGACAUUGCAUGAUGCUAAAAUAAAUUGCAAAGAAAAGAUUAUAGAAUUAAAAUGUGGAAAUGGUGAAACUCUACGGGUUGAAUCAGAUAAAUCAGAGGCAUUAUCUAGUAUGAUUUCUUCGAUGUCGGCUCAGAGAUAUUUGAGAAAGGGUUAUGAAGCUUAUUUGGCGUAUGUAAUUAAUACAAAAGAAGUUGAAAAGAAAGUUGAAUCAGUGCCGGUUGUGUGUGAAUUUGCGGACGUAUUUCCAGAAGAAUUGCCGGGUUUGCCUCCGGUCAGGGAAGUAGAAUUUGGUAUUGAUUUGAUACCGGGAACAGCUCCGAUUUCGAUUGCUCCGUAUAGAAUGGCACCAGCAGAGUUGAAGGAAUUAAAGUCGCAGUUGCAAGAGUUGACUGAUAAAGGUUUUGUGAGACCGAGUUUUUCACCUUGGGGUGCUCCCGUGUUAUUUGUGAAAAAGAAGGAUGGUUCUAUGAGGUUGUGUGUUGAUUAUCGGCAGUUAAACAAGGUGACAAUCAAAAACAAGUAUCCGUUGCCAAGAAUUGGUGAUUUGUUUGAUCAGCUAAAAGGAGCGACAUGAUUUUCAAAGAUUGACUUGAGAUCUGGGUAUUACCAACUGCGGGUAAAAGAGUCGGAUGUGCCUAAAACUACUUUUAGAACAAGGUAUGGUCAUUAUGAAUUUUUAGUUAUGCCAUUCGGAUUGACAAAUGCUCCUGUUGUGUUUAUGGAUUUAAUGAAUCGCAUAUUUCGGCCAUACUUGGACAGAUUUGUUGUGGUGUUUAUAGAUUAUAUUUUAAUUUAUUCAAAAGAUAAGACAGAGCAUGCUGAGCAUUUGAGGAUAGUUUUGCAAACUUUGAGAGAUAAGCAGCUGUAUGCUAAGUUUAGUAAAAGUGAAUUUUGGCUCCGGGAAGUUGGAUUUUUGGGUCAUAUUGUUUCAGGUGAUGGUAUACGGGUUGAUCCUAGUAAAAUUUCAGCCAUUGUUGAUUGGAAACCACCGAAAAAUGUAACUGAAGUUAGAAGUUUCUUGGGGCUAGCUGGGUAUUAUCGGCGGUUUGUAAAUGGAUUUUCUAUAAUUGCUGCUCCUAUAACUAGAUUACUCCGAAAGGAUGUUAAAUUUGAAUGGACGGAAGAAUGUCAACACAGUUUUGAAGAAUUGAAAAAGUUAUUAACAGAGGCACCAGUGUUAGUACAACCCGAAUUAGGUAAAGAAUUUGUGGUGUAUAGUGAUGCUUCUCUAAAUGGUUUGGGGUGUGUGCUCAUGCAGGAAGGAAAAGUGGUGGCAUAUGCUUCGAGGCAGUUAAAACCUCAUGAGAGGAAUUAUCCUACUCACGAUUUGGAAUUGGCUGCGGUGGUGUUUACUUUGAAAAUUUGGCGACAUUGUUUGUAUGGUGAAAAAUGUCGGGUAUAUACCGACCACAAAAGUCUUAAGUACUUGAUGUCACAAAAAGACUUGAAUUUGAGACAGCGAAGAUGGUUGGAGUUAUUGAAAGAUUACGAGCUUGUUAUCGAUUAUCAUCCGGGAAAAGCGAAUGUGGUUGCUGAUGCUUUGAGCAGAAAGUUGUUGUUUGCUUUGAGAGUUAUGAACACUCAGUUGAAAGUGUCAAAUGAUGGUUCGAUUCUAGCAGAGUUAAGAGCAAGACCGAUGUUUUUACAAGAGAUUUCUGAAACUCAGAAAAAUGAUCAAGAUUUGCUAGCCAAAAGAAAACAGUGUGAAGCUGAUACGGGAUCAGAUUUUAGAAUUGGUGCUGAUGGGUGCUUAAUGUUUAAAGAUCGGAUUUGUGUACCGAAGAAUGAGGAAUUGAUUCAAAAGAUCCUACAGGAAACACAUAGUGGUUAUUUCUCGAUUCAUCCGGGUAGUACGAAAAUGUAUAAUGACUUGAAGAAAAUGUAUUGGUGGAAUGGAAUGAAAAGAGAUAUAUCAGAGUUUGUGUCCAAAUGCUUAAUUUGUCAACAGGUGAAAGCUGAACACCAAGUACCUUCGGGAUUACUUCAGCCUAUUAUGGUUCCUGAAUGGAAAUGGGAUCGGAUUACUAUGGAUUUUGUUUCAGGAUUGCCAUUGACUCCAGGAAAGAAAGAUGCCAUCUGGGCAAUAGUUGACAGAUUAACUAAGUCGGCUCAUUUUAUCCCGGUACGUACGGAUUAUUCUCUUAACAAGUUGGCUGAACUGUAUAUUAGAGAAAUUGUUAGAUUACACGGAAUACCAUUAUCGAUUAUUUCAGAUAGAGAUCCAAGGUUUACCUCGCGAUUUUGGCAAAAGUUGCAAGACGCGUUAGGUACGAAGUUAAAUUUCAGUACUGCUUUUCAUCCACAAACUGAUGGACAAUCAGAAAGAAUAAUUCAGAUUCUUGAAGAUAUGCUUAGAUGUUGUGUAUUGGAAUUUCAAGGAAGUUGGGAAAGAUACUUACCGUUGGUGGAAUUUGCUUACAAUAAUAGUUAUCAGACGAGCUUGAAAAUGGCACCUUAUGAAGCAUUGUAUGGUCGUAAGUGUCGAACGCCUUUGUAUUGGACUGAACUCAAGGAAAAUCAGAUUUAUGGAGUUGAUCUAAUAAAAGAAACUGAAGAAAAAGUGAAGGUAAUUCGAGAUUGUUUGAAAGCUGCUUCAGAUAUACAGAAAUCUUAUGCAGAUUUAAAACGAAAGGACAUUGAAUUUCAAGUUGGUGAUAAAGUAUUUUUAAAGGUGUCUCCGUGGAAGAAAGUCUUUAGAUUUGGACGAAAGGGCAAAUUAAGUCCGCGUUUUAUUGGGUCGUAUGAAGUAAUUGAAAAAGUUAGACCGGUAGCAUAUCGACUAGCAUUACCACCUGAAUUAGAAAAGAUUCAUGAUGUGUUCCACGUAUCUAUGUUACGUCGGUAUCGUUCGGAUCCUUCACAUGUAGUUUCACCGACAGAAAUUGAACUACAACCAGAUAUGACCUACGAAGAAGAACCGAUUAAGAUUUUAGCUCGAGAGGUCAAACAACUAAGGAAUAAAAAUGUUGCACUUGUGAAGGUGUUGUGGCAAAGGCAUGGAGUAGAAAAAGCUACAUGGGAAUCCGAAGAAACUAUGAGAAAUCAAUACCCACAUCUGUUUACAGGUAAGAUUUUCGAGGACGAAAAUCCUUAAAGGGGGGAGAGUUAUAAUAUCCCGAAUUAGGGCCUAAUCGGAAUAGUGAUUUCGUGACCACAAAUCCGAGAUAGAAAUAAUUAUUUUAUAAUUAUUUUGAGGUUUAUGAUAUGAUUGCAUGAUUGUGUGAAAAUUUCGUAAUGAAAUUCUAUGCCUAAAGUGCUUAAAUUGAAAGUAGGGACUAAAUCAAAUAAGUUGCAAAACUUGCAUUCCAGAAGUUUUUAGUAUAAAAUUGUUUUGGAAUAUUAAUGAGGAGGUCUUAAAUAGCAAUUUGACCAAUUUUAAGUUCAUGUACAAAAUUAGGACAUGGAAGGAAUUUUUGGAAAGUUUAGUAGUAAGGGUAUUUUGGUCAUUUAGUUAUUAAAAUGAAUUAAAAACAAAAUUAAAAGCCAAUUUUUGUCCAUCUUUUUCAUUAGGCCGAAAUUUCAAGGGUUCUACAUAGCUAGGGUUUGUUUCAAGCUUCCAAGCUCCAUAAUCAAGAAAGACGUGGAAUCGACCUCAAUCGAGGAAAAGAAAAGAUUGUGGACUAAAUUACAAAAUCUUUGUAUUUUGGUACCAAGGUAAGUUCAUGUGUAAAUAAUGUAGCAUAAUGGUUAUUUUUAAGUUAUUGAUGUUAAUUAUAUGUUAUGCUAAAUUUUAUUAUGAAAUGUAUGCUUUGUGGUUAAUUUCAAAUAAUAUGUAAAUUAUGUGAACUACUUGUUAAAUAUAAUUGUUACCGAGUAUUGAUUUCGGCAUUCUACGGAAGACGGCAAGGAUAAAUGUUCGAGAAAAAAGCCCGUUUGAACCUUAGGAAUAGAUUAGGAUACAAGUGACAUGUCACUAGGAUGGUUGAGCAUCCGAACUCAUUGAGUUGAGUCCGAGUUCACUUAUGGAUGCGAAUGUCCGAACUCGUUGAGUUGAGUCCGAGUUCGUGAGAUGUAACUAGGCAUCCGAACUCGUUGAGUUGAGUCCGAGUUCACUCAUGGAUGCGAACGCCCGAGCUCGUUGAGUUGAGUCCGAGUUCGCUUAUGGGCGGGUUACAUGAUUGCUUGAUUGAAUAUGUGGCACUUAUAUGCAAAUUAUCCAUGUAUCUGAAUUAUAUUCCGAUGUGUUUAACGGGUAAAGUUCUACUCAAUGGAGGAAUAUUCGAGAUGUAAAAAGAAGUAUUGGUGAGUGAUGUGAAAUGGAUAUUUUGGACAGGUAUGUAUUUAACCCUCGGGUUGAGUAUUGAUACAACCACUAUAAGGUAAUAAGAUGAUGAAAAAUGAUCAGAAAUGUGAUAUGUGUUUUAGUGAUGUAUGCUAAUGUUGAUUGGUAUAACUGUUUGUUAUGUUACUUAUUAUUUGCAUAUGAACUUACUAAGCAUUUAUGCUUACUCCCUCCUUCUUACUCAUUGUAGUUUUGGACAAGCCAGCUCAGGAGUCAGGAUAGGUCGAAGGCUCAGUCACACUAUCCGGAAGACUUUUGGUAAAUGGCUUGUAAAUUUAAGUAUGGCAUGUAUAGCAAUAUACCUAUUUUGUGUAAAUGAUCUUAUGGUAUGGUUGUGGAAUGGUUGAGGAAAUGCUUGAUAAUGAUAAAUUAUGAAAAUGGUUAGUGUAGAUUAUGUUUGAUGUUAAGGAAAACUAUUAAGAUACUUAAUGCAUAAAAACUCAUAAAAAGGAUAAAAUUUGCCAUAAACAGAAUACCGCAGCAACACUAAUGUGAGUUUGAAAAUUUAUUAAAAAUCAUAGCAAUUGAAUUUGGUGAUGGAAUACAUAUCAAAUUGAAGCUUAUUAUGUCUAGUUUCACAUGAGAUAAAUGAAACAGGUAAAGGAAUUAUAUGUUAGAAGAUAUUUGAAUUUUAGUAAAAUAGGGUCAUAGCAGUUUUUGAAUCCCCUGAUCUAACUUUAGAAAUUCAUUAUAAAUUAUAAAGAUAUAAUUAGGUGGUAUAUUUUAUAUCCUCAGAAUCCUUAUUGAGUCUAGUUUUAGUAGAAACAAAUCUCAUAGUCAUAUGAAUUUUUUACAGAGAGAAAUGUUGUUCGUAGUAAACAGAGGUCAGACCAGUCGAGUCCUGAAACAGGGGUAACUUUAACUAAUAAACUGUACUAAUUGGCCCAACCAAAAAUUCUAGAAAAAAUUUAGUAAAUAGGUAUAUGAGUCUAGAUUCAGGGAAAAUUUAUGGAUCUUGAUUUCAAGUUUCGUAACUCAAGAUAUGAUUUUUCUUGUGACUAUGACGCAAGUAGCUUAAAAGCUGUGAAUGUAGAAACAAUAAUCCAAAGUUCUAAAAAUGUUAAACUAAGCUUAGUAACACCUCAUACUCGACUCCGGCGAUGGUCUCGGGCGUGGGGGCGUUACACCACCCUUGAUAUUGCUAUAGGAAUUAAUGCAUAGAGAGAUGGAGAUGGGAUUGGGGAUUCCUCAAGGCUACAGCAGUAAAUUUAAGCCACGGUGUGGGAAAAGGUGAAAUGAGAGAUUUUAGACUAAAUCCAAAGCAUUAAUUUCUAUUAAAUGAAAACAAACAAACAAAUAUAAUUGUUAAAGAAACAUUAAUUUCUCUUAAAUCCGGUAAUAUUCGAACUAUUCCAUUAUUCAGUGCAUUCAAAGUUUCAGAAUAGAGAGAUGAAUACAAUUAGCAGUAGGAAGCAAAUACAGACAAUUACCACAUUUUCAGUCGUCGUAGCUAUAAACUUAGUUACUGAAUUCAUAAAUCAUGCCUGCCAUUUGCAGCCCAAAUACACACACACACACAUAUAUAUAUUUAAAAAAAGCAGCACUUUAUAGUGUUGGUUGCAACCAAAGAAAUUCAAACAUACCAUCAAAACCCUCCAAGAUGCAAGGGUUGCCAGAAUCUUCAGUGGCCUUCAAAAUUUCUGCUCGAGCUGCCAGUAAGCCAUAGUGCAAAUAACUGUACACAAGAAAGCCAUAAGUAUACAACUAAAAUAUAAAGAUUAUACAAAUGACUAAAUAGAGACCUGUUUGAUAAGACUGCUUAAGGAAUCACAAGCCAUUAAGAUUUCUCUUUAUAUUCAAUUUCAAAUCAUUAACAGAAUCUUAUUUUGUUAAAAUGGAGGGUACCUGUGUACAUAGAGGUAAUAUUUUGAUCCCUUGAGAUACAUUUCAUUUACAUAAUUGUCCUGUCCAGCUGGUAAACUUGGAGCUCUUGAAGCAGCAUUCUUGGAGAUGGCAUACGCCAUUUGAACAGAUCCACCACCAAGAUCAACUAUGCCAACUGUGUCUUGAUAUGUCCUUCCCAAAUUCCCUAGUAGGUAAUUUAUUGUCACCUAUAAAAGAAGAUGGAGGUUAAGAAAGUCCAAAUUAGGUCCAUUGGCUCCAUCAGUAGGAAAAAUUACAACGGAUCCUAGCCCUAACAGCACGUAAAUACUUUAUUCUAGUUUCCCUAAGUUACCCCAGAGAAACCCCUCGGAUUUCUCCAAUUGGAUCCGGCACCACCAUGAAAGCAUCUCAAGCAAGACUGAUCAUGUUGACCAGUUAUAAGAUUAAAAUAUCAAGCAGUCCUUGUACUUAGUCAAAAGUACAAUUUAAUCCACUUAGUCAAAAGUACAAUUUAAUCCACUAUAUUACAGAAUUGAGUCCUUCAAUCUUUUCCAUGUUUGACAUUGGAGAAAUAAGUAAAAUUGAUAGCAAUGUUAACGGGAAACCAUCUAAAAGCUAGCAUAGACCCCCGAAAUCUGACAAAAAUAUUGACCUCUAGAUGGAACUGAAGUAGCAACAUUUUUUCAAUUAAGAACAUACAUAUUGUCGGAUUUCAACUCAUGUACAACUCAUGUACUAUGUAAGAUUUGAGAAGAAAAGUCCACAUCAGCAUUUAAAUAAUUUUACAUCAAUAUUGUUAUCAAUUUUACUUGUUUGCGCCUAUAUCAAAUGUUUAAAGAUUAAAUUACUCGGUUCUAUAAUACAAGGAUUAAAUUGCAUUUUAGCUAUAAUAUAGGGACGCCAAGAUACUCUAACCCCAGUUACAGUAUGCAAAGUAAAAGCAAAGUAUAAAAGUACAAGAAAAUUCAGCAUAUCAUACCCACUCAUAAGAACCUUCUUGAGAGCCGUCCAGAAUUUUGACCCCAUUUGCCUCGGAUUUAAGGGUGCUUCUACUUUUCAAAAGUUCCCUAACCUAAAUACAUAUUUAAAUUGCACUAGCUUGAGGAAAUGGUAAAGUAAAUGCUGUGGCCAUAACAAACAUGUAUCCGAAAAUAAAAUUACCGAUUGCAAAUUUUAUCAAAUACCUCGCCUCCUAAUGCCCUCAGACCAGCAGUUGCCUACACAGAUAGCCCCAUUGUUCAGCAAAUUAAAAGGCUUAGAAUGCAUAACGCAUGAACAUAAUACCUACCCCAACUCUCACAACAGUCUUUGAUCGUAAAUCUAGCGGAACAACACUUUUUGCCUUGUCAAGAAGAGAAGUUAAUGAAUUUGCAGCAGCCUGUGGAUCUUUUGCAUAGUAGCUCAAACCUGGUUUAAGCUGCAGCAAAACAACCCACAUAAAACUAACUAAUACUUGGACAAAAACCUCCAUAAAAUUGAAGAAAAUGGUCCACAGCACACAAGUAAAAUGGUACCUUGAAAAGAGAUCAAAGAAUUGAUGUUUUGAACUCUUUUUUUUUUGUUCAAUUCAAGUAAAAUCCUUUUCUAGAGGAUACAAGUUAAAAUCCUACCUUACAAUAUUUGAGUCAAACUAUGUCACAAUUCACAAAUAUCAAAUAAAGGUCACAAUAUUCUCAACCCCUUUCAACUUAUGUUUAGAGGAAAGAAAAACAAAAACAAUAAUCAUACAAAUAAAGAUUACUAGUUGUCAGUUACUUUUGUUAGAAGUAGCUUUCUAGUGUCUAUUCGUCUGGAAUGUUUUUUAUUGAAUAUUUUAUGAAUUAUGUUAAAUAUUACUAUUUAAAUACACUUUUUUACGAAUUAUUUAUUUUUUCAACAAGUUUGACAAUUAAGGUUCCAUUUCCUCGAUACUUUUGCUUCUUAAAAUCUCGCUAUAAAGUAAACCUAAAAAAAGUUACGAUUGAUUAAAAAUGAACAAAAAAAAUUCAAAAUGUAACACUAAAAGUAACAUCAUGCAAUUUGUUAUCUAUCAAUGUUUAUUUAAUAAUACUUCAAAAACAUUGUUUCUCUUGUUAAUCUAGCGUACAGCAGACCAACUAGUUACCAUUAGCAAGUUUUAAAAUUACGAUCAAAGCAGGCGAGUAUCAGACUAACAUUUCAAAGGAAAAUAAUUUAGAAAAAGAAAGAAGGAAAUUGUAAAGAAAAGAAUGAGUUUAUAUAAGGAAAAAUAUGGUUAUUAGAAUCCUAUGAUUGUUGGAAUUGUGACCAUUCGAUGAUUUGUUACCGUUUACUUGAAAACGCGUCUUAUAGGGCGCGUUUUUACUCUGACAUGAAUAGAUAAAUUUCAAAAUUUUCGGCAUAUAUCAACAAAUUAGCCUAAUUAAAUGGGUAAAGAAAUUCUGCAGCUAACAGAAAAAAAAAAGGUCGACAAAUGUACGUACCUCUUACAAAACAAACACAAAAUUUCACCUCUGUUAACUUCCUCCUCACUUCUUAUUGUGUUUGCGUGAAUCGAUAUGACAAUUGAAAGCUCCCACUCUUUCUAAUUUACACAACAAUUCAUGUAAUAUUAUAAAAUCAUUAAAAAAAGUUGAUAAAGAAAACUGAUAACAACGGAAUAAAAAUCCCAGAAAGUGUGAGGACGAAGAAGAGAAAAUUUUGAAAAAAGAAAGGAUAUUUGGGAAGGAAGAAAACCGAGAAGCAAAAUCCCGAGAAACAAACAGAAAACAGUGAGAUUCAAAUAUUAAUUUAUAUAUAAAAUAAACAUAAAAAAUAAAGAAAAUACACUAACUCACCUAUCAGCUCUCCAAUGAAACAAAGAUGAACAAACCAAAGAACGCCAUCGAAAGUUAAUAUUAUAUAACCCCCCCAAAAAAGAGUUUAAAAUCAAUACAAAUACAGAAACCUUUAUUUAUAGUAGCAUUACAUUGAACAACUUCAAACUUCUUUUUCUGUGAUAAAAAAAACGUAUAUAUAAAACAAUAAAUGGAAACACAAUAAAAAGGAAAGCAUUACUAAGAUUUCCGACUUACCUUAAACGGAAAUUCAUUAGCCAUUGUUGAUCUUUAUCCAUUGCUACAUUCGCCAUCACUCGAAGAAAAAAAACACAAAACCCCUAACUUUAGGCUUUUCUUCGUUUCCCGCUCUUUGAAACAAAGAGAUGAAAAGAAGACAGGAAAAAACACUGACUCAGGUACGAAUAGUGGCAAAUUUGAAAACUCUUUCCAUGUUUGAUGCUCUCCCGCAGAGAUAUUUUAGGGUUUGGGUUUUUCAUUUUUUUUAAAUUGAAAAAACAAUUAUAUUUUGUUUGCUAUCCCCGGGUCUAGCCCAUAUUUCAAGAAUAUAAAUACUCUUCUUGGGCUACAAUCCAAUAGUGUCCAACCUAUUUGGGCCUAUAUUCGGUUGCAAUUUAAGUUUGAUCCAAUUAUACAUUAACAUUGAUUUAAUGUGUAAUUGUAUACAUGAAUUUUAAUUUGGUGCAAUUUAAGUUUAAUUCGUUGCCUUCUAUUCAACCAAUUAUGAUAAGUUGUUGAUACGGCAACGUAAAAAAUUGACAUUUGGCAUGCAUUUUUCAUAUCCUAAAACAUAAAAUGAAAAUUACACAAUACAACUAUUAUUAAUUUCUUGAUAAUUUUUUCGUAUUAUUACCGAUUUAACUAAUUAAUUUUGGAAAAAAUGAUUUUAAUGUGAAUUAAAAAUACAUAUUAAUUCCUAACUUGAAUAAAUUUUAGCAAGAGUUUAUUUUUAACUUGAAUUAAAAUUAGUCGGAUUGAAUUAAUUUUCACAAUAACUAAUAUGGAAACACAACAAAUAUGUUCUUAAAUUUAAUUAUGUUAUUCAUUUUAUAGAAGGGAAAAUAUCAAAUUUGCCAAGAAUUAAUUAUUGAAUAACCUAUGUUAUUAAAUAUUGCCAAAUUUUUAAUGUUAAUUAAUUUUUUAUUUACAUUAAGAAUUAAUUUUGACAUGUUUUAUACUGAUAAUUUGAUUUUUUUUUUUUUGUAAACUAUAAGAAGGACAAAAUCCUAACAACUAACAAUUUGAUUUAACUGGUGUUUUUAACCUUGCUUCACCAGGGACCAUGUUUUUAGUGGCAAUGUCAACAUUAAAAAAUGCUAAUACAAUUACAUAUAAAAUUUUAAUAAAUAUAAAUUAAAAAUUUAAAUACAAUUACAUAUAUAGGAUAUUAAAUAUUAAAUUAAAAAUAAUAUAAAUAUAUAUAUUAAAUUGGGUUUAGGUUAAGCCUUUUAUUAAUAUGGGAAUACUUAGAUAAAAUUUUAGGCUCAUAUAUUGAAUGAAGUGAGACUUGAAUAAAAAUAAAAUAUAUUAAUAUCAUGCUUAAAGCACAAUCAUGUUUAAGUUAAACAAUUAUGUUUUUUUAUUAAUAUAUAUUCAAUGACUUUAAAAAUUAGGGGUUUUAGUGUCCGGCAUGAGAAAAAGAAAACAUUUCAAAAAGAAAACGACCCCGUUUAAGUUAAAUUUCCAAUUAAAUUUAUAAAUACUUAACGUAAAUUUACUUAAACCUAAUGAUAUUGUUUUAAUUUUUUUUUGUAAAUAUAUUCAUGUUAUUUUCAUUUGAUAUUUUUUAAUUUUUUAAAUAUAAACAAGUUAAAUAUUUUUAAUUAUUAUUAUUUUUCUAAACUAUAAACCCUUAACUCUUAACCCCAAACCCUUACACCUUAAACUCCAACCCUAACCCCUAAACCCUAAAUUAUAAUCCCUAAACCCAUAAUUCAUCAUAAACCUUCAACUACUAGUUAAGUCCUAAACCUUAAACCCUAAACCAUAUAUCUUAAACCAUAGGUAACUCAAAAAUCUUAAACCCUAAACUAUAUAUCUUAAACCAUAAACCAUAAACUAUAACGAUAAUUAAUUCGAUAUUUUAAAUUCAAUACUAUCUCUUUUACGAUUAUAUAAGAAAAUAUUUAAUAUAUUGUAUAACCAUAAAUUUUAAUAAUUAUUGUUUUAGGGGUUAUAGAUUAGUGUUUAUGAUUUUUUUGGUUUAGGGGUUAUAUGACUUUUAGCGGCGUUUUGCCAAAAGCGCCGUUAAUGCUCUAGUUUUUAGCGGCGUUUUGCCAAAAGCGCAGCUAAUGCUUUGGUUUUUAGCGGCGUUUUGCCAAAAUCGCCGCUAAUGCUCUGGUUUUUAGCGACGUUUUGCCAAAAGCGCCGCUAAUUCUCUAUUUUUCGCGGCGUUUUUUACUAAAACGUUGCUAUUGCUCUGUUUUUAGUGGCGUUUUUGGUAAAACGCCGCUAUUGCUAUGUGUUUUACAAUUUUUACGGCGUUUUUUGAUAAAACGCCGCUAAAGCCCUAUUUUCCUGUAGUGAAGCUAUAAAAUUAUUGGUUCAUUCAAAACAAAGAUUUGGUAAUUCGUCUAUACGAAAACAGCUUUAAGCUAAAUAUUAUUAGGUUAUAAGCAUUACCAAAGGGGCUAAAAAGAAUAUUAUAAGCAGUGGCGUAUUGGGGCCUCCCGACUCAACAUAUAUAAUGGCCACCUUUUUUAGACAGAAUCAAAGGGCCUCAACUAUUGUUUCUUCUUUUAAUAAAUGAUUCAACACGCAAUGUAUAUCGGUUAAAAACAACAUGAAAUAUAUAAUAUUAAUAAAUUAGAAAAAAAAUAUUUGAAAAAAGAUAUUUUAUGUAUUUUUAGUUGAAUCAAAUGAUAUGACGUAACUUGGCAGUUUUGUUAUUUUAAUUUCUUCAACCCAUUUGAAUAUGAUCAGAUGAGAUUAAUUACGUCCACAAGUUAAUUGAGAUAUUAAUUUGAAAAAAAGGUAUGAAUUGAUUGACUCGGAAGUUGUUAGGGAACUAUAAAAUUAAGUUUUUAAUAUUUUUAUUUUUCAAAGAAUCUGAUUUCACAUCAUUUAAAAUUACAGUAUACGAAUGUUUAUUAUCGCCAUUUCAUUUUUAUGAGGCGAUUGUUACUAAAUUAAUUAUAAUUACGACAAAGACAAGCACACCUAUCGAAUAAUAGUAUAACUAUGUUGAGUAGGGAAUAUCGCAUCCACGAGGACUAAAAGUACUAGUAAUUACCGUUUUUCUAUUAUUUAGUCGAUAAAUUGAAGUGAUUUUUAAUCUAAAUUUACUAAUCUAAUUUAACUAUGAACGCAACAGAGAAUGAAAUGGAAAAAUAAUUGAAGACAACCAAUGAGAAAUACAAUAUCUAGGAAAGAAUCCCCCUAGGCUUCACCUAUUAUUUUGAAUUUGAGCUAAACGAUUUAUUCACUUGUAUCUUGAUCCGUAGAAAUCCAUAAAUUAUGUUAAUAUCUCUUUCGGGAGUAAAAACAACUGUCUCUAGGUUGAGUAAUUGAAAUCUCUUUCUAAUUAAAACCCCUAUCGUCGCAUUAACAUGAUUUAUAAAUUCCCUUAUUAGAUUUGACUCUAAUCCGGUAGAUUUAUGUCGUCCUAUUUCUAGGAUUGUAUGCAACUCCACUCAAUUAUGUUAGAUCUACUUUUAAAAAGGGACUUUUGCUCCACUGAAAUAAGCACAUUAAACUUGAAUUACUAUCUCAGAUAUAUUAAAACAAGAAAUAAGCAUUCAUAAUUGAGAACAAGAAUCAAGUAUUUAUCGCGUAAAUCAAAAAUCAAAUAAUAAGAUUCAUCAUAGGUUUCAUCUUCCCUAGGUAUCUAGGGAAUUUAGUUCAUAAUCCUGAAUAGAAACAUCUCAAAGUUAGGAUAACAACAAGAUAUAAAGAAACUCAAUAAAACUUCGAAGGAAAUUAAAUGGAGAUCUUUAAUCUUGAAGGAGAUCUGCUUCCGAGUUGAUUCUGAUGGCGUUCUUCGAGUGUUCUCUUCAAUCUUCUCUGAGUGCCCCCUUAAAUCUUCUUUUAAUUUGUUUUAAAGACUUUAGAAUGCUCAGAAUGCCUAAAAAUUGGGUUUUUUUGCAUAUUUGGGAAACAGGGUGCGAUAUUGACACGGGCUGACACAUGGGCGUGUGGUGUUGAUCAUUUUAUGAACCAAUAAACUAAACUACGAUCACGACUAAGGCAAGCGCACCAAUCGAAUGGUAAUAUAGUUGAGGUGAGUCCAGAAUAUCGUAUCCACAAGGACUAAAAGUACUAGUAUUGAUUUUCUUUCUAUUAUUUAGCCUAAAAUAUAAGGGGUUUGUUCUAAUUUAAAAUUAACUAACUAAUUAACUACUGCACGCAAUAGAGAGUGAAGAAAAUAAUCGAAUAAACCAAUAAUAAAGGCAAUACCCAAGGAAGAAUCCACCUAGACUUCACUUAUUAUUCUGACUCUGGAUCAAACGAUUUAUUCACUUGUCUUGAUCCGUAGAAAUCCCUAAUUUAUGUUAAUAUCUCUUUCGAGACUAAGAACAACUGACUCUAGGUUGAUUAAUCGAAAUCUCUUUCUAGUUAAAACCCUAUCGUCACAUUAACUCGUUAUAUGGAUUCCCUUAUUAGAUUUGACUCUAAUUCGACAGAUUUAUGUCGCUCUAUUUGUAGGGUUGCAUGCAACUCCGCUUAAUUAUGUGAGAUCUACUAUUAAACAGGGACUUUUGAUCUACUAAAUAAGCACAUCAAACUUGGAAUAAUAUCCUGAAAAUAUUAAAGCAAGAAUUAAUAACACAUAAUUAAGAACAAGAACAAGUAUUUAUCAUUAAAUUCAAAAUAUUAAAUAAUAAGAUCCAUCUUAGAUUUCAUCUUCCAUAGGUAUCAAAGGAAUUUAGUUCAUAAUAUAAAAGGAAGACAUCUUAAAUUUAGAAAAACAGCAAGACAUAAAAAACCCAAAUAAACUUCAAGAGAAUUUUGAAUGGAGAUCUUCAAUCUUGACGUGGAUCUACUUCUGAGACGAUUUCGAUGGCUUCCUUCGAGUAAUUUCUGCUUUCUGCUCUACGUCCCCCUUUAGGUCUGCUUCUAGUGUGUUUAUAUAGACUUUAGAAUGCUCAGAAACCCUAAAAUUUGGCUUUUUCUGCGUAUUUGGGAAACAAAGAGUUAUAUCAACCACGGGCUACCACAUGGGUGUGUGGCUAGCCCGUGCAUGUGUUCAGCCCUGUGGAAUUAGUCUUGGCUGUGUGGAUCUUUCAAUCAACCUGUUUUGUCCGUUUUUAGCCUGUUUGAUGCUCCUUUUGUUCCUUAUGCUAUCCUAAGUAUAAAACAUGAAAUUAAGGGAUUAAGAGCAUCUAAUUCACUAAAUUAUAUGAUAAACCAUCCAAAAAUAUGCUAAGUAUAGGAUUAAAAUGUGUUGCUUUUAUGGUUUAUCAUGUGGCCAGCCCAUGUGGAAAUGCCCAGGCUGUGUAGAUCUUGGAAACAACUCUAUUGGUCCAAUUUUGGCUCGUUUUUCGCUCUUUUCGCUCUUAAAUGCUCUCCUAAGUAGAGAAACAUGAAUUUAAAGGAUUAAGAGCAUCAAAUUCACUAAUUUACAUCAUUAAGCAUCCAAAAAUGCAUUAAGAAUGAGAUUAAGGGUCUGUUUGUUUAACUAAAAAUGAUUUUCGGAAAAUGAUUUCUGGAAAAUGGCUUACUUUUCUAGAAAAGCUAAUAUUUUCUGGUGUUUGGAUGAAUGUGUAAAAUAUUUUCUAUUGUUUGGCAGAGUUUCUGAAAAUAUUUUAUAAAAACUGUUUUACAUGAAAUAAACAUACAUUUAAGAAUUUAUUAUCUUAUUGUUUGAUUGAGUUUAUUUUAUAUCUAUUAAAUUUAUAUUUUAUGCAAUCAUUUAUUUAUAAAUAAAUACAUCAAAUAAAACAUUAAGAACCAGUGCCAAAGAAAGGGAUUCAAAGAGAAAAAAAUCAAUUACAAAAAGAAAUUCCCUAGUCUAAGAAAAUAGAUUACACAAGAAUAUGUAUACACAAGAAUACAUAGUUUAGACACAUAGUCUAUGCACAAAAGUCCAUAAUUCCAUUUCCAUACUAGUCAUUUACAUCCAACUACUGUGUAUGACUUACAACAAGAGAGGUAAACAGAGAGAUGAAGGAUACAGAUAACUAAAAUAUUUAACACAUACAAUUAUUCUUAUCAUCAAUGGGCACAUUUGGAUGGAAGAUAGAGAGAGCACGAGCAAACUCUUCGAAACCUAGAAUUCCAUUAUGCUUUGUAUCAAGCAAGUCAAAUAUCUACAGUGAAAUCACAAAUAUAUUGACAAAAACUCAAGCAAUAUUAUGCUAAUAAGAAUUGUUCUUUCAAGGAUGGAGACAUUAUUAAUUAACAUUAGAUAAAAAUACCCAAUCAACAAAUAAACUCUCCUAUUUGUUUGUUUCGAAUAACGCCAAUUGGAACUCCUCAUGUUAAAUAGUAAUAUAAAUAGAACUUAAAUACUAUAAAGAUGAAAAGGAAAGAACCAACUCAAGAAAAGGAGUAAUCAUCAAGCCAAAAAACUUGACAGACGUAACAAAAGAUAUCAAUUGUAUAACAAAAUGGGAACUAUGAAAAAAAAAGACCUUGUUGAUCAACCCAUCAUCUAUAACAACAUUGCUUAUAUUCUUGAAAAGCUCAUAAAGUGCUUCUAUUUCACUUACACUAACUGCAUGAAAAUGAGAAAAAAACAAAUUUCAGUAGAAUGACACAAGAACUAAAAUAACACAAGCAAACAUUGAACAAAUGAUAAAUCAAGCAAAAGCAUUUAAUUUAUCACAUAAGCAAUAUAGAAAAAUAUUUAAAAAGAAGAGAAAAAAAAUGAAAACAUACAAACGGUCUCUCUUGCAAGAAGUUUAGGAUCAACAAGACCUCUUAAUUGCUUGUACAAGUUAUUAUCACAUUAUUGCAGCACUGAAGCAAAUAAAUGCUUCAAUCUGUCUAUGCACUACAACAUGAUAUUCUUUUCACAUCAAUACACUCCAUACCUAGGCAACAAAAAAAGAGACCAAAAAUCCCAUUCAUGUCAUUCUUUCCAUACACUGAAUCAUUCUAAAAGCAAACAACAGAACUAACCUUUUAACCAUUUCCUGAUUAUGCAAAAGUGGUAACUUUGAGGUACAUAAGUGCUUUCAUAGAAAGCCCAGAUGUGUGGAUAAAGUGAAGUUUUGUGUUUCAGAACAAAUGUCACUUAGACCAAAAUCAUAAGUCCUUGUAGGUUCAAACUCAUGAGUCAUGACCACCCUUUGCCCCAUGAAGCAGAAAAUACUUGUGUACACUAAAAUGUUGUGUUUAUACAACAUUGUAAGGGGACAUUGGAUUUAAGUGAAAUUCUAAGACCUUAACUUUAAGUGAAGACUGAACACUCACUUAGAGUUAUAUCCACUUCUAGGCUGCAAGAUGUAACACCCCUUACCCGUAUUCCUUACCGGAACAGAGUAUGAGGUAUUACUAAAUUUUAAAAAUUUUCGACAGCAUUCCUACUUAUUUUUGCUUAAACCUCCUGCAAAUUUAGAACACAUUCCAAUAUACCAACCAAUUUCAUUUGUAUAAACACACAUAUAGUUUAACUAUUAAUAAACACUACAUUUAAAAGGGAACCAUAACAUAUAUUUACAUGAUGAUCCCACAUUACAUAAAGUGUCUAUACAUGCCAUAAAAUUUCGGAACACUAGUAGUAAAAUACCCCAAAUGUGAAGGAUAGUGUAGAUGAUUGUCUGACUUCGUUCCAAUUUCCGAGUUGUUGGAAGUCACUAUAACCAAGAGAAAAAUAAAAUCGAGUAAGCAUAUAGCUUAGUAAGUAAACACAUGAUAAAUAAGUAAUUACUCCCAUAACUACACCAAAAUAUAAACUUAUUCAUGAAUAACUUUAUUGUUUAGGCAAUUUCCAGCAAGCUGUUUUUCUGCGUCAUAGUCGCUAAUUUAUUUUUAACUGGAGCUACAGGGAUCCAAAUUGAGUUCCGUAAAUUUUCCCUGAAACUAGACUCAUAUACCAUUUCACCAUAAAAAUUUCAGAAUUUUUAACCCAGAAAAUUAUUACAGUUUAUUCAUUAAACCUUCCCCUUUUUCACUGCCCAACGGUUCUGACCCUUCCUCACUAAAAUUUACUUAACUCUCUGUACAAAAUUUGAAAAAUGGUUUUUCUUGUUUCUAAUAAAAAUAGACUCAAUAAGGAUUCCAGGGAUAUAAAUUUCAUGCCAUAAUUAUUUUUUUACAAUUUUUGGUAAUUUUCCAAAGUUAGAACAGGGGAUCUCGAAAUCAAUCCAGUCCUGUUUCAGUAAAAUUCAGAUAUCUCCAAAAAUACAACUCCUUUGCUUAUUCUAUUUCUUUCAUAUGAGAAUAGAUACAUUCAACUUCAAUUUCAUAUAUUAUUCAGCUUCCCAUUCAUUUCCACCAUUUAUGGUGAUUUUUUCAAAGUUACCCAAUUACUGUUGUUCAACACAGUUUAUAAUUAAAUCGUUCCUUUUGCGUUUUUUAUAUUUUCUCCCAUCUCAUACAUGGGUCGAUUUAGUAUUCAACUCAAUAUUUACCCCAUAAAAUUUUCCACCAUAUGGCAAUAUUCAUCUUCCACACUUUUUUUUUUGUUGAACACUCGGAAUGUUAGCCGUUAUUGGUGGAUCCCGCACUUAGCACCACCACUGAAUCGGGGAAUCAGCACAUAGCAACCCCUCGGGGGAAUCAGCACAUAGCAACCCCCUUUUUAUUUCAAAGAUAUGGUGGAUAUCGCACUUAGCACCACCAAUGAAUCGGGGAAUCAGCACUUAGCAACCCCUCGGGGGAAUCAGCACAUAGCAACCCCCCUUUUCAUUUCAAAGAUAUGGUGGAUAUCGCACUUAGCACCACCAAUGAAAUCGGGGAAUCAGCACUUAGCAACCCCUCGGGGAAUCAGCACAUAGCAACCCCCUUUCACAUUUCAAAGAUAUGGUGGAUCACGCACAUAGCACCACCCAUAAAUCGGGGAAUCAGCACACAGCAACCCCUUUUAUAUACAACAUACUACGGCUUAUUCCGAGUGUUCAACCCAUAACCCAUAUAUUGCAACCCUUUAUCACCUUUCCCCAUUUAACAACAUUUUUAGGAUAUUGCCAAACAUUUAUUUUAAUUCCAAAUAAAUCUCAACAUAUAUCAAAUAAUAUCAAAAUAAUACAUUAAGUCACGUGUUUACUUACCUCGGUGCAAAAUAUCGUAAUUUUGCACUUUACUCCCCUAUCUUUUCUUUUCCCCGUUUGAUAUACUCUUCACGUCUUUCUUGAUCUAUAAUAGCAAAUUUAACUCGUUUAAUAUUCACAUUUAUUAAAAUAAUCCACCACCCAACUUUUUGAAAAUUACAAUUUUGCCCCCAAACUUUUGCAUAAUUACACUUUUGUCCCCAAGCUCGGAAAUUAAACUUCAUCACUUAUUCUUAAGUUUUAUAACAUGCUGAACAUUUUUCCCUUCUAUGGAAACAUCAAAUUCCCACUCCAACACAUACUUUUGAAUAUUAAUUAUUUUUACCGAUUAUGUCUAUUUACCCGUUUUCGCUUAAAAUUGCUUAGCAAAAGUUGUUUAACAUAAUCUCUAGCUUCAUAUUCCACCAUAAAACAGCAAAAUAAACACAUUUCACCUAUGGAUAUUUUUCCAAAUAUGAACCCUAACAUGAAUUAAUGGUAGAAUAAGCUAAACCAAGUUACCGGGACUCCAAAAAUACGAAGAACAUUAAAAACGGGGCUUAGAAUCACUUACUAUGGAGCUUGAAAGCUUUAAAACCCUAAAUAUGGCUUCCCCCUUGCUGAUUUCGUUCACCAUGAAGAAGAUGAGCAUAUUUUGUCAUCUUUUUCCCAUUUAAUUCUAUUUAAUAACCAAAUGACUAAAAUGCCCCCAUUUAAAAAAAAUCUAUUUCACCCAUUUCUUAUGUCUAUUUUUGUCCAUCAACUAACUAAUGGUCUAAUUACCACAUAAAGACCUCCAAUUUAAAAUUUCAUAACAAUUAGACACCUCUAAGAUGUAGAACUCAACUUUUGCACUAUUUACAAUUUAGUCCUUUUGACUAAAUUGAGUGCCCAAACGUCGAAAUUUUCGAACGAAAUUUUUACGAAAAUUUUCCGUGAAAUUGUAGAUCAUAAAAAUAUAAUAAUAACCAUAUUUUCCCUCGUCGGAUUUGUGGUCCCGAAACCACUAUUCCGACUAGGCCCAGAAUCGGGCUGUUACACAAGACCUCUGGUGCCAUCCUGAAAAGAAAGGAUAAAUAGGAAUAUCAGACUGUGGAAAUUCAAAGAAAAAAUAAUUCUAUCAAUGGCAUCAGAGUACAUAAGAAGAUGAAGAAAAGGGUAAUAGUUGGACAGAUUUGACAAAAAUAGCUCACCAGUAAGGAGUUCCAAUGAAGGUAUUUCUAGAACGUUGCCUAUUUCCUGCAUCAAACAUGCAAGUUGAAACACCAAAGUCAGUAAGCUUUACUGUGCCAUUGUUAUCAAGCAAUAUGUGUCCAGCCUGUAAUGCUAAUUAAAAAAAACUUAUUAAAUAAAAUAAUGGUGAAUUCAAUCAGAUAACAUAAUGCCAACUUUUGUGAGGCACUGAUCUUAACAUCGCUAUGAAUAUGUUCUUGUCGAUGAAGAUAAUCCAGAACUUUAAAUGUUUCUUUCAGAACAAAACCAAUAGUAGGCUCUUCGAAACCAUCUGGAUAUGCUGACUUCAUGAGGUACAAACAUGAACCCUCUAACAUGAAAGGCAAGACUUUCCAAAGAUUAUGGUUAACCACAAAAGAACAAUAUGCCCGAAUAACAUUUGAGUGAUCAAUCAAACUCAUUGUUUGAGCUUCCCAACAGAUAUCAUCCUGCAAAAUAGCAUUAAGAAAGCAUGUUAAAAGCCAAUAGAUCACAUGAAGAGCAGAAAAUAUGGAUCUAAAUAUACCACUCAUGAUACUACCAAUUAUUAAAACCUCUAAACAAUAUCACAAAAGAUCCCAUUAGCCAAAAAUAAUUUUUGGUACACCUACUUGAGUGAUUGUAUUACCACCAAAAGUAGAAAAUUCCUAUAGAAUGAUCAAUAGUAAUGAAACAAGCAAGCAUACAAGAUGUUUAGUACACAUGAACUAGAUCUAAGGCCUGGCCUGGAUUGAGAGGAAACUAGGGAAAGGAAAAGGAAGGUUUCUAGUAUAAUAUUGUGUCCCUUAUUUAGAGAACAUUUUAACAUGAUAAAAUCUCACCACAAGCAAGUCUGAACUAAAAGAAACGAGCUUCAAUAAUAAAAAGUAAGAAUAUCAGAAUUUUAUUCAACUCGACCAAAAGCAAUCACUGAAAUCCACAAUCAAAUCAAAUUCCCACCGGCAGAUGCAUCGAUCAAUUGCCUAGUUGAGGGGUUCAAACCGUUGUAGAAAGUUUGAACCUAUAGCCAUAAAGGUAACCCAUGGUGAGAACACCUUUUCAAUAAAUCUUUAUACCUCUCCCAUGUAUCAUAUAGAGUAUUUAGAUCCAUUUGCACGAAGGAAGAGAUAUCAUUCCUCAGCUUGACUGUCUUAGCCAAUGAAAAGUACUUCAACAAGAAUUUUUCAGUCAUUUGUUCCCAUGUAGUGAUAGAACCUCGUGGUAGGGAGUUCAACCACUGUUUAGCCUUACUCUUCAACGAAAAGGGAAACAACCGAAGGCGAAUGGAAUCAUCAGAAACACCAUUAAUUUUAAAAGUGUUGCAGAAUUUCAAAAAAUUAGCCAAAUGAGUAUUUGGGUCUUCGUCCUGCAAACCAUCAAACUGAACAAACUGUUGAAUCAUUUGAAUAGUGUUAGGUUUCAGUUUAAAAUUAUUUGCAGCAACAGCAGGUCUAGCAAUACUCGAUUCAGCCCCAGUUAAAUUAGGCUUGGUAUAAUUAUACAUAGUACGAGGAGCAGGCUUCGAAUUUACAGGAUUUACAGCAACCACAUGAGGUAGCUGAAUAUUAUGAUUUUCUGCCAUCUCCUCAGUAUUAAUAACAACGUCCUCUUGCUUUUCUAUUGUACUCUGUCGACUCUGCCUUACUUCUCUACAGUUUCUGCGAGUUGUACUUUCGAUCUCAAUCUCGAAUACUAGAGGUCCUGACGGGUUUCUUCUAGUUAUAAACUAAAGGAACCUGCCAGAAGCAAAUAAAAGAAAAGUUAGUAAAUUAAAGUAAAAAUAAAAAACGGCUAAAGUAAUAAAAAUUAAGUGUUCCUAAUAUUUUAGUUCCUGGUAACGGUGCUAAAAACUUGAUGACGUCACGAACUAACUAAAAUGCGACAAAGGCAAGCACACCUAUCGAAUGGUAGUAUAAGUACGGUGAGCCGGGAAUAUCGUAUCCACGAGGACUAAAAGUACUAGUAAUCACUAUCUUUUUAUUAUCUAACCUAUAAAUUGAAGGGUUGUUUUUAAUCUAAAAUUAAACUAAACUAACUACUAAGCAACAGGGAGCGAAUUGGGAAAAUAAUCGAAGAAAACUUAUGAGAGAGACAAUACCCAGGAAAGAAUCCACCUAGACUUCACUUAUUAUUCUAAAUAUGAAUUAAACGAUUUAUUCAUUUGACUUGAUCCGUAGAAAUCCCUAAAUUAUAUUAAUAUCUCUUUCGAGAAUAAAAAUAACUGACUCUAGGUUGAUUAAUUAAUAUCUCUUUCUAAUUAAAGCCCCUAUCACCGCAUUAACUCGAUCUAUGGAUUCCCCUAUUAGAUUUGACUCUAAUCCGGUAGAUUUAUGUCGUCCUAUUUCUAGGAUUGCAUGCAACUUCACUCAAUUAUGCUAGAUCUACUCUUAAACAGGGACUUUUCCUCCACUGAAUAAGCACAUCAAUUAUGAAUUAAUAUCCUAAAAACAUUAAACAUGAAGGUAAGUAAACAUAAUUGAGAUCAAGAACAAAUAUUUAUCAUGUAAUUCAGAAAAAUCAAAUAAUAAGAUCUGUCAUAGGGUUCAUCUUCCCUAGGUAUUUAGGGAAUUUAGUUCAUACUUGGAAAGGAAAACAUCUCAAAAAUAGGAAAACAACAAAACAUAAAGAAACCCAAAAACUUCUAAAGAAAUUGAAUGGAGAUAUUCAGUCUUGAAGGAGAUCUUGCUUUUGAGUUGAGUUUGUCGGCCUUCUUCGAGUAAUUUCUGCGUUCUACUCUGCGUGUCCCCUUUAGAUCCUCUUCUAAUGUGUAUUUAUAGACUUUAGAUUGCCUUUUUCUCCGUAACAGGGAAGCCGAGUGCAAAAUCGACACAGACUGGCACAUGGGCAUGUGGCCAGCCCGUGUGGAAAUGCCCAGGCCAUGUGAAUCUUGAAAACAACUCUUUUUGCCUGAUUUUGGCUUGUUUUUCGCUCCUUUCACUCCCCUAUGCUCACCUAAGUAUAGAAACAUGAAUUUAAAAGAUUAGGAGCAUCAAAUUCACUAAUUCAUAUAAUAAAUCAUCCAAAAACGCAUCAAUAAUGGGAUUAAAAACAUGUUACUUUUAUGGCUUAUCUGAAUGCCUGCUGAAUUGCUUCCUUGUAGUUUUAGUACAUUGUAUUUUUCCUGCAUCCCCAAUAGCUAGUAGUUCAAUUUUUUUAGCUGUUUGAAAAUUUUAUCAUAAUGUAAUAGAAAGGUCCUGAAACGAGAUGAUUGUGAAUUUUCAUUCCAUUGGCGUUGUGGGUGGCAUUGUUGUUAUUGAAUGCAUUACAGGGCCCUUGGUAACCUCUCUGAUGCCAUUUUUCAUUAUAAUGUCUUCUGGUUUUAGAGGGUUGCAUUUCAUUGUCUUCUUAGUGUUAAAUACUUUGCAUCACAACUGUAGGUAGAAGCACAUUCGGAUUGAAAGAAAAAGACCCAAAUUCAGGAGAUGGUAAAAGACAAGGUUGAGGGAGAAAGAAGAUGAAGAGAAAAGAAAGAAGAACAAGAAAAAAAAGAAAGAGGUUGAAGGAGAAGAAGAUAAAGAGAAAGAUGAGAAGAAAAAGAAGAAAGACACAGAGAAAGGCCAAUUGUCUUUUCUUUUCUUUUUGACUCUUUGACUACUCAUUUAACGUGACAAGUUAAUUGGCCUAAUUAGCUAAUUAAUUGGCUACUUCAGCUAUCCCGUUAAGCCUAUGACGGAAAAUGUUAAUGAGUUAUUAAUUUGUCACUUUUUAAUAAAGUUAGUGACUGUUUUGUUAUUUUUUUAAAGUUGAAUGAAUGAAAUAAAACUCAAGUGAUUGUUUUGUCAGCUACCCAAAAUUGAGUGACUGUUAAUAAAAUUUACCCUAAAAAACUAUAAUAUUUUAUUAAUAUUAUAAGUAAAGUAUGGUCUUUUUCUACAUCCGAUUUUAUUUUAACAACAUCAUAUUAAUUAUUUUUAUCUAUAUCUAUUGAAAUGCAAUAACUUGAUGACAAGUUAUUAUCCAAUUAUUUUAUAUUAUAUUCCAAGUUUUCAAACAAUGUGAGCAAUGCUAGCUUCCAUCAAUAAAAUAAAAGCCAUGCAUACCUAUUCACUACCAUGUGAUAUGCAGCAGCCAAUAUUGACAUUUGUACUCAACAAAGGUUCAUUUCGUCAACAGCCAAAAUAUCACUGCCACAACACACCUUCUAGAUAGGAUUAAACAAAUUUUCCCAAUUGUAACUUACCCAAGGCAUAAAUAUAAAAUCCUACUUAGAUUACUUUCUUUUAAAUUGAUUUUUUACUUAGAUUACUUUCUUUUAAAUUGAUUUUUUUUGUCAUACUUAAACUAUAUUUCUUACUUAAAUUAUACUCCAUUAAUUAAAUUAUUUCAGUCAUUAUAUAAUAAAAAAAUUGUAACGUGAAACACAUUUUAACUAAAAUAUUCAAAAAGAAAAUUUAAGUAUUAUUUUUUAAAAAAAAUUAUAAACAUAUUCAUCUCUUCAAUUUUUCACUCAAAAUCUUCAAUAUCAAAAAUUCAAGAACUCAUUGAAACUCAUCUAAAUUCAACUUUCGAUGAUAAAACCCAUAUUUUGACGAGCUUCUUUUCUAUUUAAGUUUUUAAAUCUCUAUUUUGAUUCUUUUCUCAUAUAGAUUUAAAAUCUAUGGGAAGCGUAAAAAUAUAUAGAAUUUUUCAGCACAUUUUGAGCUCUAAUUCAUGUAGUUUUGUAGUAAAUUUUGUCGAAAUUCACACUUUAAUUAUAGAAUAAAUAAUUUGUACUUAAAUUAUUAACAUAUUGAAUUUUAAUUAUUUUUAUAAUAAAUUUUCACAAAUUUAGUUUAUUUUCGACAAUUUUGCACAAAAGGUAAAAACUGGCUCGGCAGACACCUCGAAAGGCUUGAAACGUUGGGGAAUUUUUGCAUCAAGUGAACCAAGAGCAAGACUGAAUAUUUUUUCAGCCAAGGACGGUCCAAAUGAUGAUUAUUUUAUGUACUUUGUAUUUAAUUUUUAUCUAACUUAAAUUGGGUUAAAAAUUAAAUAAAGCCUGAAGGAGAAAGUGACCCAAUGUGCUAAGCAUUGAAGACUGAUCCAACAAGAAAAUUGGCAGCCCAAAACCAUCCCAAUCAGCUUAUUUAGCUGAUUUAAUUACUUGCAUAACAACCCUCAAAGUUUCCUUAAACUCCAUUCAAACCCCUCCACUUUUUGUGCCUUUGAAGAUUUGCCCCAAGCUACAUUUAGCAAAGUUUGAAACAUUCAAACUUGCUUGUUGUAUGGCCAGCCAAGGAAGAGUGUAUGACUCCUAAUUAUUUGUUAUUUUUAGCAGCUUCAGACCUAUAAAUACUCAUCUUUGCUACUUCAUUCAACACACCUCCCAUCCCACACAUCUCUCUCUCUUUCACUCACUUUCUCUUCUUGUUUUCCAUUUUUUUCCUUUCUACUUUCCUUUGCCGAUUUUUCUUUUGGAAAAGAGCCUUUCAACCACCUUGGGUAGCAACAUUCAAGUGCUUAUAGAAGUCUUGGAACAACAAGAACGAGCAGAGAAGGAGAGGAGCAAACUAGUCUGGCUUCGGAGAAACACUAGAUUUUAUUCUAGUUUCCUAUCCUUUAACUUUUCUUGUUGUUGUUAUGAACAUGUCUAUAAGUAUUUGUUAUGUUGUUUUUCUAAAUUUAAUUAACAUGGCUUAAAUUUAAUUCGUGUAAUGUUGAUUGCAUUUCAUCUACUUAAGUUAUUAAAAUCAUGUUUGUGUUGUUAUAGGUCUUGAUAAAUUGUUUGAUUAAGUAAAACCAUGAUUAUGUUAUAUACUUGCAUUACAAUUGUAAGGUAACUAAUGAAUUAAUUAUUAAUCGUAUUUAAAUUGUAAUUAAUUGACACAAUACUUAAUCAGUGCAUGUUUAAUCUUCUAAGGUAGCUGAGGGUUAAAUUAGCGACGGUAUUAAACGGUAUAUUAGCCUUGUAUAACUUGCAAGAUUAUUGUGAUUAAACUGUUUCAAUGUAGGAAUAUAUUGUUACUUCACUUAAUCUUUUACUUGCUUAUUUAAAUUGAUUAAUUAUUUGAAUUGGUUUUGUAAUAUAUUCAAGAGAUUAGUUAAUUUAGUAAGUUUGUAUGUGCUAUAGUUAACAAAUUACUAAGUUGCCAUUAAUUUAUUCGUAACAACAUGAACAUUGUCUUGAUAAUAUUAAGUUAAGAAAUGUAAUUGAUCUAACACAAUUAUGUCAUAUUGAUUAAAAUCAUCUUUUGAAAUUAUGCUUUGGAAUUUUUACCUUUUAAUUUUCUUAGUUAAAAUAUAGUUUACUAAACCCUUUUCUUUCAAAACAAAAGAUUUUCCUUCACCAAAGUGUUUUUAUUAAUUGCAUUUCAUAAAUAUUUUCUUACACAGUCCUUGUGUCACUUUAUUACUUAUUGCGAUUGUGUACACUUGAACAUUUUCAUCGUUCCAUCUAUGUAUUAUUUUUGUUAAAAAUAACUUUUUCUAUUCUUUUCUAUAUACUUUGCAUAAAAUAAUUAAGGGUCCAUUUGUUUAGUAGGAAAACAUUUUCUGAAAAAUGUUUUCCUGAUUUUCUAGUGUUUGUUUGCUUGAAAAUAACUUACAUUGGUAAAAAAUUUUCAGAAACACGGGAAAAUGAUGAGGGAUUUUAAGGAAAAUGUCUUACCGAUUUUAUUUCUGUAAGACAUUUUCCAAAAAAUCUUCCUCCACUUUCAUCAUCUUCUUUCUCCUUCUUCCGUUUUCUACUUCUUCCUGUUCUUCAUCUUUUAUUUCCGUUUUUCCUUAGCUGUCUCCAUCGUAUAUCUUCUCUUCUCAGGGCUGCUGUUUCGUUUUACUCUAAUAUUCCUCUUCGCAGGAUCUUGGCUUAAGGUAUGGCAUCUUCUUUAUCUUCAUUUAAAAGCUCUUUUCUUUCUUCUUGUUCUUUACUUGUCCACAUUUUAACCGAUAAUUUUGGAAAUUCCCUAGAAUUUUGAUUUAAAUUUUUAUACUGUUGAAUACCCUUUUGUUCUUUGUGCUGAAUUAGUGGUGGGUUUUAUCUGAAAGUGAAACAGCGUUGGUUAUACAAGUUUCUUUCGGUUCGUAUGCCUAAAAUUUUAUGCCUUUCAUUGUUUCUUUAUUUUAAUUUUUUAGUGAAUUACAUGUUCAAAUUUUGAACAUAUUAUUCUAUAUGUUCUUUCCUACUCCGGAGGGUAACUAUGUCCUCUGACUUUCGAGAAAAUAUAUUUCAUGUAGGAGGAGAAGGAACAAUCCCUAAGGCAGGUUAAACUACCUUAACCUGCUUCCCCCUUCCAAACUGUCUACUCUAUUUGUUCUUUAAGGAUUUCUUUCUGUUAGGAUUUUAACCCGGUUAAGUAACGAACAAGAAAAUAGUAGAAUACAUUGAGAAAUUGAACACACAAAUUUAACGUGGAAAAACCCCUCCAAAGAGGAUAAAAAACCACAGACAAAGAUAAUUUUACUAUAAUGGCAAAAGAACGAAGAGUACAAAAGAUGGAGAUAAAAACUAAACCCCGAAAACAAAGAACCCACAAAACAUAAACACAAAAUUCUCUAAAUGUGUUAUGAGUUCUAAUCUCUAAUGGGUGUAUUUUCUAAGGUUGUAAAAGAGCCUAUUUAUAGGCUAAAUUCAUAGAUUAAAUAAUAAUAAAAUAAUCCAAACUAAUCAGUGUUUGAUUGAAACAAGUAAACAGAGUUUAACUGAAAGAUUAUUUUUCAAAUUUGACUGAAAAUAGGAGUCAUAUUUAACAAAUCUCCACCUUGACUCAUAUUUUCCAUAACGCCAUAUUUGCCAAAGCCCGCCAUGAGCCUAUCUUGAACUAUGCAGGGAAUUAACUGAGUCGAAUUUGUGCUUAGAAACUGGAAGACUUCUAGCCUUCGACUUGUACACUGCCAAAUCAAACUAACCCGGGUCUGAUUUUCACGAACACAGUGCCCUAACUUUUCAAAACCUGCAUCCAAAAGAAAACCUCUCUUCAACGAAACAGUCAUACCUUUUUCCCUCUAUGACCAAGUUGCCUCCGCUUCAAACAAGUUGACUUCAACUCCGUAACGGACGAGGGACGUCCGAUUUCACCGGUCACUGUAUAACUUUCCAGAGUAUAAAGACUGCCGGUUCUUUUAUCUUUUAACAAAACGAGAGCUCCACGAGAUACUUUAAUACCACUCGACUCGAUGUUGAUUUUGCAUCCUUUCAAGUCUAAAAUACUUAAGGAGAUGUGAUUCUUUCAUAAAUCAGGUACAUACCUAACAUCUGAGAGUGUCCUAAUCAUCCCAUCGUGCAUCUUAAUUUUAACAGUACCAAUACCAAUUACCUUACUAGAUGAAUCGUUUCCCAUGCGCACAACUCCACCUUCAAUUGAACUGUAUGUGGAGAACCAUUCUCUAUUGGGACACAUGUGGAAAGAACAUCCUGAAUCUAGGAUCCACUCGGACGUGAGCUUGGUGUUAUCACUUGUUGACACUAACAAGAAAUCAUCUCCAUUUUCACCGGCCAAAUUAUCACCAGCUACAUCUUCCUCGUUACUCUCAGCAGCUUUUUUAUUUCGCAGUUUAUAACAAUCUGCUUUGACGUGACCUAACUUUUUACAAUAGCGACACCUUUUAUCUCGUUUCUUUGAUGCUAUCAAAAUGGAAGCUUGCCUAUCUGUCUUGCUAUCCAAAUGAAGCUCAUUGUCGAGUUUGUUUCUACUCAACAAAUGACCCUUCACAUCUUCGAACAAGAGUUUGUCUCUGCCAUAAAUCAGGGUCUCCCUGAAAGACUUGUAUGAAUGGGGUAAAGAGCACAAUAAUAGCAUAGCCUGAUCUUCAUUGUUAAUAUGAACCUCAACAUUCUUUAAAUCAUUUAAAAGAGUAAUGAAUUGACUGAUGUGAUCUCUAAGAAGCUCACCUUCGUUCAUGCGAAACGUAAAUAGACGUUGUUUCAACACUAAACGGUUAGCCAGAGACUUAGUCGCAUAAAGAGUUUCUGACCUUUUCCACAAGGCAGAUGAGGUCUUCUCCAUCAAUACCUCCUGCAAUACUGUAUUCGUGAGGCACAACUGGAUUGCAGAUAAAGCCUUUUCAUCAAGCUCUUCCCAUUCUGUUUUAUUUAGAUUCUCAGGCUUUUUCCUGAUAACAACCUUUUUCAAGCCUGAUUGAACUAGAAUUGCCAUCAUCCGAACCUGCCACAGAUUGAAAUUUGUCUCACCAUCGAACUUCUCAAUUUCAAACCUUGUUGUUACCAUCUCUGAACGGGCUAAUUUAUGAAAAUUGAACUAGUUCUGAUACCACUUGUUAGGAUUUUAACCCGAUUAAGUAACGAACAAGAAAAUAGCAGAAUAAAUUGAGAAAUUGAACACAUAAAUUUAACGUGGAAAAACCCCUCCAAAGAGGAUAAAAAACCACAGGCAAAGAUAAUUUUACUAUAAUGGUAAAAGAACGAAGAGUACAAAAGAUGGAGAUAAAAACUAAACCCCAAAAACCCGAAAACAAAGGACCUACAAAACGUAAACACAAAAUUCUCUAAAUGUGUUAUGAGUUAUAAUCUAUAAUGGGUGUAUUUUCUAAGGUUGUAAAAGAGCCUAUUUAUAGGCUAAAUUCAUAGAUCAAAUAAUAAUAAAAUAAUCUAAACUAAUCAGUGUUUGAUUGAAACAAGUAAACAGAGUUUAACUGAAAGAUUAUUUUUCAAAUUUGACUGAAAAUAGGAGUCAUAUUUAACACUUUCAACCUGUAAUUACUAUUGCUGCUGUCCUAUGUUUUAUUGGUGAUUUGAAGAUCAUUUAUUUCCCCCACUAACAUGAUUCGGAUCAUCCAGCUAUUGAUUAUUGAUACUGCUUUGUCCAGGAUUAGAGCUGGUCUGUGUCAUUAAAGGAAAGUUUGUUGUUCAGUAUAGCAAAUCUCUUCAAUGAUCCAGGAUUUUCUACUUUCAUGUCUUAUUGCAGUCACUAUCCUUCCUACAAGCUUAGUCUACCUUAUCAAGUUUAGAAUUUCUGAUAGAGUCAUCCUUAUUGAUACCUGAAUGAGCUCUAUUACUUCCAUCACCAGACUCCUCUGUUAAUUCCUUUGCAUUCUUAGAUACAGGGACCCUUUCCUUAGGAAGCAAAAUCUUAGCAGCAUCUGCUAUCUUACUCGUGGAGUUCC